CAUUUUCCAAGCUUUGUGAAUCCGUGGAGUCACGCCUCCGGCUGACCACCACUCUUAUACAUCAAUUUGAGCUUGUGCUUUUGUUUGAAACUCUAUUUUUCUUCUACUUUCAAAGCUAUAUACAAAACAUUUUCUUUCUAUUUUGAUAAUGACAAUGCUUGAAACAAACAUUUUGAAAAUUGAAAACCUUUUGUCUAUUUUGAAAAGCAAACCUGAGCAACAGGGUACAUCCAAAUGAAACAUGCAUGAGCGAGAGUAUGUUGAUGUCUAUUUCAAUAUGUGUUACAAGCAGGUUCUCCUCCAGGAUAGUCUGUGGUCAAUGGCAAGAAUGAAAAAACAGAAUGAAAAUGCAUGAAAAUGAAUAGGCUCGCUAAGUUGAAAACCCGAAAGGGCGGCUUAGGCAAAAAUGAGCACCCCGCUGGAUUGACAACCCGAAAGGGCAGUUCAGGCAAAAAUGGGGCAUUGAAAAGAAUUUAUUUCCCCGGUGGGUCGAAAACCCGAAAGGGCGAUCCAGGCAAAAAUGGGAUGCAAAAAAUGAAUGAAUGAAAAUUGAGAAAAUAACAUGCAAAAAGCAUUGACCACAGAUGCGACGUCCACGAUACAUCCGGCAUUAUUCUCAGUAGAGUCUUCCGAGAUUCUAUCCCCAGCAAGUUGCAUACCUACCUGCCCUCAGCCAUGGUUCCGAUACGUCUCCCAACGACGUCAUCUCCACAGAAGAAUUCCAAGAAUGUGUAAUAUAGCACGAGCCACUACGUGCCCAAUACUCUAAUGUCUUGUCUUCCCCGUGAAGUCGUGCCUACAAAAUGCCAACAGUCAUGCAUUACAAGCAUUCAUACAUGCAUAAUCAUGCAUAUUACGUGCCCAUGCAUUUAAUGAAACUGUUAUAUCAUCCGUGCAUAUUGCAUUUCCAAUGUCAACAUCAGUCUCAAUCCGAUACUCAUGUCAGGUUCUCUGUCAAAACCUUGUGAGCCAAUAAUAUCGGUCAAUUUCUACCUUUCAAAUCAAAUCGACGUCAAGUCAAUCUCAAUCUAUACUUUGUCAAAAAAAUCAAUCCCCAGUGAAUAUGUUUCUGUUUGGUCAAGUGGCUAGUUCAAGUCCAAGAACAGCUUGUACCCAUCAAUUUGCUUAUGUUAUCGGUCGAGUGCCCAGCUCAAUCCAAGAGCAGCUUGUACCUGUCAAUAUGUUUCCGUUUGGUCAAGUGGCUGGCUCAAUCCAAGAGCAGCUUGUACCUGUCUAUCUGUUUCUGUCCGGUAGAGUAACUAGUUCGCAUCCAAGAACAAGCUCGCACCUGUCUAUUUGCCUUGCUUUCAGUCGAGUAACCAGUUCGAAUCCUUAAGAACAACUCGUACCUGCCAAUUUUACAUGUUUUCAGUCGAGUCACCAGUUCGAAUCCGUAAGAACAACUCGUACUUGUCAAUUUUCUCUUUUUUCCAGUCGGGUCACCAGUUCGAAUCCAUAAGAACAACUCGCACUUUCCAAUAUCCCCAAGUGAGUUACCAGUUCGAAUCCAUAAGAACAACUCGUGUUUGUCCAGUAACCUCUAUCCCCUGUGAAGUUACCAGUUCGAAUCCAUAAGAACAACUCGCAGUUGUCUGUUUGUUUCAUUCCCGGUCAAGUGGCUAGUUUGAAUCCAAGAACAGCUUGUACCUGUCCAACUUGUUUCUAGUUUCCCGUUACUCUGUUAUUCACUAUCUUUGUCAAUGUCUACCAAUCCCGCAAUGGAUACGACAUAUUUUGUUAAUUCCAAUCCCCAUGAGGUCUUGCAUUCAUAAUCCAAAUGAGGCAUGGCAUGCAUAUUAUUUGAAAAUGGGUAGGCGUAUUUUUACGUCCACACACAGUACAAAUGCUAAUAUUUAAGUAUCUUCAUCCUGUCAAGCCAAAGACUCCGUCUCUUGACUCUCCAGACAAAGAAACUUAAAUAGGGGCAGCUGUUAUACCCUGUUUUUGGACCUAAAAAUACUGGGCCCAAUUUCAUUUCAAACUUUGUCAAUUAUCAAAUUUUCAACUGCACAGUUCAAAUUGUCUCUGCUACGCAGUGUUUUCAACCACAAUUUUACCUAUGUUUUUCUUGCAUAAAACCUUUCGAAAUGUCUUUACUUGUCUUGUAAGUCAUUCAAAAGUGUCUCUGAAUCAUUACUUUGCUUUUUCCACAGUUUAUUUCAAAAUUUGCAAAAAAGUCAUACAGAAGGGUACUUUGGUCAUUUCCUGCAGUGGGACCCAUUUUCAUCCUUGUGACUGUCUCUGAGUCUUUUCAGAUUGUUUUUUUACAUUUCAUCAGUAAACCUUGUUAAAUUCAUUUCAAACUUGCAUCUGAGUCAGUGUCAAGUCAAUUUGAAUCUGUUUAGGCCCUAGGGGCAUUUUGGUCAUUUCACACAAAAUUUUGGCAUAGAGAGGUUACUUUGAAGUACCUCAUUUAGGCCAUUGGUUCGUUUUAGUCCGUUUUGUCAAUUUUAUUUUAGUUUCACUUUACGUUUUGUCAGGUUACCAAUUUUAUUCCAAUUUUAUUUUUUAUUUUACAUUUUGGUCCCCAAAGAGGUCCAAAAUUGCGUAUCAGUCCAGAACUUUCUUUUUUUUUACAUUUCAAUCCUUUUUGGGUUAUUUGCAGUUUAGUCCUUAAAGUUUUUGUUUUUGCAGAAAAGUCCAAAGUUCAUUCUAGGACCAAGGCCGUGCCACUUUGAUACAAGUCCAGAUGUCACAAUUCCAUUGGCUCAAGUGUACACAUGUCAGCUAUAAAUACAUUGAGUCAGAAUCAGAAGCAAUAAUUACACGCCACAUCACAAACAGAAACCACAAUCUCUCUCCUUUCAGUUACAGAUCAAAAUCAUCAAGUUCAUCAAGAACACAAGAACCCUAAAAAAAUUUUCCAGAACCAAAAAUUCAUACACAAAUCCAUUGAUUUUCACAUCAAUCCUCAGAGAUUCGUGUGAAUCUUCAUCACUGGAUUGAAGAAUUCUCCUACAAUUCAAAGUGCGAGCUCACAUUGAAGCAAGCUCAAGCACUGAUCAUAGGGAUCUCUUUUUUACACAGAAUCUAAGAAGCAUUGAAGCAAGCUCAAGCACGUAAUCACAGAGAGAAGUAGAGAAAGAAUCGGAGAAGAUGAAGAAACAGAACCGGUAAACCGAUUUAUUUUCGGUCCAAAAAGCAAGCAGAAGAAUCAAAAAUCAUCAAGAACAUUCAAGUUUUUCCAAAGAUUUUCCUCCAUUAAAAGUUUCAACCAAAACUUCAGGUAAAACUCAUUUCCUCUCUCAAAAAGUGUUAAUCACAGUCAAACCUGUAAAAUCACGCGAGCAAGCAUAUCAAAAAUUUCCAGAAUUCAAAGAAAACUAUAACCGUAAACACCAAAACCUAGAUCCGUGAGGAUCAAAGUUUUGAAAGCAAGAACGAGUACCAGAAAAGUAAUCAAACGACGAAACGAUGUAGAUCUUCAAAGAUCUAAACGUUUUUGUUCAAAAAUCAAAAAUCAUUUCAAAACCGUAUAAAGUUUUUUCAAGAUCUACGUCGUUUCAAGCUGUAUUUGGAAAAAUAAUUGCUGGAUUCGUGUUUAGGGUUAAAGGACGAAUCAAAAGAAGUAAGAAUCUUUGAAAUCUGGAAAUUUAGGUCACCGGAAGUUCAUAAGUCUCGCCGGAGAAGAUGAAGUUUCCGGCGGACCUUCAAGGUCUCCGCCGUAGCUUCAUCCUCGCCGGCGGCGGGGUUAGAGAGAGGUGAGAGAUGAGAGAAGAGCUCUGAGUUAGAGAGAGAAAGGAGUGUAAAAAAUGAUUUAAACCGGUGCUCCUUCACUUUUAUAAGCCAGCGAACCGGACCGGUCCAGUCCGGUCCAUUCCCCUUUGAUUCCUGGCCGUUUGAUCUAGGGUUUCAGAAUCCUGGAUCAAUCGUGUGGUUCCUGUGCAUCCGGAUCCCUUGGCUUUGGGCCUGGGCCUCUUCUUUUGCUUUUCUACGUUUUUUUUUUGUUUUUCUUGCUAUUGGCACCAUUUUUCUUUGCUGUUUGAACCCCUGCAUGCUUAAUUUUUCUCUAAAAAAAAUCUCCAAAAAUUAUCACAUGUUUCUUGAUGUUUUUUCAUGUCCUUGUUCUAUUUCUCAAUGGUUUUAAAAUGAUAAAAAAGGGCAUGUGAUAUUUCUUGUUUAAUAAGUGUGUUUAGACAUAAACUUGUGCAUUUUUUAGUAGCAUAUCCCUCAUGAAUUGUUGACAUGUGAUUUGAACUUUUGGAAUGCAAUUUUAUGAUAAAUUUGUUGCUGAUCCUAUGUGUGGCUUGCUGCUUGUGAAUAUGAAUCUUAUUUUUCUUCUUGCCUUGCAAUUAGUAUAUGUUUUAAUAAUAAAUAAGGUGCAAAAUGUCUUAAAAAUGUGCCAUGAGUUUUAGCUUGAAUAUGUCCUAUUAAUUCUCACCUUAUGGCACAAAGCAAGACUUCUAAAAAUUUGCCAUAAUGAAGGGAUCAUAGGUCAUACACAUGCUAGAGUUUUAUGGCCACUUUCAUGCACAUUUUGUCACUUUAUUAGUCUCUUUUAUGUCUUUCCUCUUAAUAUUUUUUUGUGCACUUCUUUUAUUCUAUGCUUUAUUUUACUAAUCAUCUCACUUCUUUUAUUCCAUUCAUUUCAUGAGCAUUUCUCCAUUUCACCACUAUCUCCUCCACUUUCUUUAGCUUAGCAUUUAUUUUUGCAAGUUUUAUUUCAUUUGGUGAUGUAAUUUGUUAUCAUUGGUUUGUAGCUUGGCAAAGGGGCCAUAGAAUGUAUUUAGGUAAUUUUUGUAAUAUGGACUAUGAACACUAUGACGCACCGGCACGCACACACUCACCCUAGAUGUAUGCCUAGGAUUGCAUGGUUAGAUGAACGCUUAGGUUUAAACACUUAGAAAAAAUCCAACUUUUUUCCAAAAUAUGCAAAUAACCUCACUUGAAAACCUUUUUGCAAAAAAUAAAAUGGGAGUCAAAACUCCUCAUUUCCCUUUAUUUUUCUUAAGUAAAAUUUCUAAUAAAACUUAACUAUACUUGGACUUCAUUUUGAAAAAGCUAACUCCACCUCACUUUUUUCCAAAUCUCAUGCCCUUGAGGCCUCUCAUCUCUAUUCUUCAAAAUCUCUUUUCAAACUUAAAAUCAACCAACAAAAACAAAAACUAUUUUUUGAGAAUGAACUACGAUCGGUUUUGAUCCCGUAAAACGGUACGUAGGCAAGGGACUUUAACCCCUCCAAAGCCGAAAUAAAAUCAAAUUCUACUUCUUCUCACCCCCAUUCUUCACUAAUCAUACCUUCUUUUUUACAAAUAAGCAAUAAAACUAAAGCGUAGAAAUAAACUUAGGAGAACGGUUCUUAUGGAAUACCAUAAUCGCUCCGGGUGCCUAACACCUUCCCGUAGUGAAAACGACCCCCGAAUCUAGAACUUUUUAAGGGUUUUUCUCCUUUUACCCUUCCCAAGAAAAAAGAGAUAUCAACGGUCGAAAGGUUCAAGUCCAAUUAAUGGCUUGGCACCCAAAAACCAUGAUAACAUAGUCCAGUGCUGGUCAACUCCGUAUCUUGGUAUUGGGACAGCUCGACCAUAAUCAGUGACUUUUGGAUAAUCACAAACUCUUGUCCACACUUCUUCUGAUGUAAUCUUAGGUGGAGGACCAACAAAAACUCUCUCAUCCUUCAUGAAACCAUUCUUAAGUCUUCUAAACGGGUGAUUAUGAGGCAAGAACGGACGAUGACAGUCAAACCACGAACUCUUCCCUCCACUUUCCAAAGUAAAUGCCUUUGUAUUUUCCAUACAAUGUGGACAUGCAAAUCUACCAUGAGUACUCCAACCGGACAACAUGCCAUAAGUGGGGAAAUCAUUAAUGGUCCACAUCAAAGCUGCUCUCAAAUUGAAAUUUUGUUUUCUAGAAAUAUCAUAUGUCAAUUCUCCAACCCACAACCUCUUCAAAUCAUCAAUUAACGGUUGUAGAAACACGUCUAUGCCUGCUUUAGGGUUAUCUGAUCCUGGUACAAUACAACUCAAAAACAAGUAUGGUUUUGUCAUGCACAUUUCAGGAGGGAGAUUAUACGGGGUUACAAUGAUUGGCCAACAAGAAUAUGGUUUUUCUGAGGAUUGGACAUAUGGCUGAAAACCGUCGGAGCGUAAUCCAAGUCUCACAUUCCGUGGAUCUGCUGCAAAAUCAAGAUGUACUCGAUCAAAGUGUUUCCACGCUUCACCGUCAGAAGGAUGUCGCAUCACUCCGGGAAUUCCAUUUGAAUGAUGCCACGUCAUUUGACUAGCAGUUUUCAUCGAUGCAAACAGUCUUUGUAAUCUUGGUAUUAUUGGCAAGUAAAACAUUGACUUAACCGCCACUCGUUUCUGCUUGCUAAUACCGUACCUCGGGCUUUGACAAAAUUUACAUUCCUCCAAUGCUCCAUCAUUUAUCCCAAACUCAUUGUCAUAAAACAACAUGCAUCCAUUUCUACAACAAUCAAUCUUUUUAACUGAUAAUCCCAACUUCAUCACCAACCUCUUCGCAGCAUGAUAAUUCAUUGGCAGAUUAUCUUUGAACGGAGUCACGACCUUCAACAUCUUCGUAAUAUCAUCCAUACCAUCAUCAGGAUUAAGAUAAUUUGACUUAUGAGAUAAAAGCCACACACACAUAGAUAGCUUAGAGUACGAAGACCCUUCAUACAAAGGUGUAUUACUUUCACUCAACAAUCGGUAAAAUCUUUGCGCCUUCUCAUUCGGGGGUUGUUCCUCUUCAUCAUCUUCAACAUCAUCACCAACCUCUUCGCAGCAUGAUAAUUCAUUGGCAGAUUAUCUUUGAACGGAGUCACGGCCUUCAACAUCUUCGUAAUAUCAUCCAUACCAUCAUCAGGAUUAAGAUAAUUUGACUUAUGAGAUAAAAGCCACACACACAUAGAUAGCUUAGAGUACGAAGAUCCUUCAUACAAAGGUGUAUUACUUUCACUCAACAAUCGGUAAAAUCUUUGCGCCUUCUCAUUCGGGGGUUGUUCCUCUUCAUCAUCUUCAACAUCUUCACCGUAAGACAAUUCCACCCCUAAAGCGUCCGCAACCAUAUCAUCCAUCAUGUUGAAUUGUUCUGUGUUGACAUCUUCAUUGUAUUCCACAUUUGUUUCCACAUUUGUUCCACCAUGGCCAGUAGNNNNNNNNNNNNNNNNNNNNNNNNNNNNNNNNNNNNNNNNNNNNNNNNNNNNNNNNNNNNNNNNNNNNNNNNNNNNNNNNNNNNNNNNNNNNNNNNNNNNNNNNNNNNNNNNNNNNNNNNNNNNNNNNNNNNNNNNNNNNNNNNNNNNNNNNNNNNNNNNNNNNNNNNNNNNNNNNNNNNNNNNNNNNNNNNNNNNNNNNNNNNNNNNNUGCAUUGACCCCUACCCCAAAAUUCUGAAACAUUUCACCAUUAUAUGUCCAAACCCAAUAAUUAAGUAUAAAAUCAACUUUUUUUAAGUGUUUCUUCACAUCUCCAGGAUCGGUAAUUAUAUGUCUGCACCUACAUUUUAGACACGGACAUCUAAUUCCUCCCUCAUCUCUACAAAUUUCUUGCUCCCAUGCCCAUGAAAAUAAAUCCGUCAACUCCUUCGACAAAUUGCGGUUUUAGUCCAGUUCUUCCCGGAAACGUCCUAUCGUACAUCCAACUUCGAUAAUAUUCAUAAUACUCCAUCUUCUACACGUUCCGCAACUUCAUUGACAUAUUCCACGUCAAAAAUAAAUUAUUACUCAACGGAGAUAACUAACAUUACGCGCAAAAAAAAAAUAUAUAAUAAUUAAUUAGUAAAUAAUUGUAACAUAGUUUUAAUUUUCAUCGAUAAACAACUUUCUUGUACUAAACUAUUUUUGAGUCCCUCCUUUUUAAACAAUAUGCAUUAUUAUAUUAUAUUGUUUUAUUUUAUAAAAAUAAUAAUUAUAACAUUUUAGACACGGAAAUCAAACAUAUUUUAAUUUAUUAAAAAAAUAGAUUUUAACAAAGUUUUAAUUUAAAAAAAAAAACUGAUUUUUAAUACACUAUUUUAAUAAAUUGUUUUCCAAUAAUAAAACUUUUUAGUAUAGUAUUUUUAAUGAAGCAUUUUUAUUUUCCUACGCUUUGAUUAGUUUUAAUUUAUAAAAAUAAUAAUUAUAACAUAAUUAUAAUUUAAAUAUAAAAACAGAUUUUUAAAUAUAAAAACAGAUUUUAAUUUAUUAAAAAACACCAUUAUGUUUAAAAAUCUGUUUUUAUAUUUAAAUUAUAAUUAUGUUAUAAUUUAAAAACUAGUUUUAAUAUGGCAUUAACUAAACUAAAAUAUAUUUAUAAAAACUAGUUAUUAAAAAAUUUAAAAAAUAAAUAAAUUUUUAAUAACAGAUUUAGUUUAACAACCAAUUUAACUUUUAAAACAAUAUUUUCUAAUUUUUUUUAUUUUAAAACAGUACCGAAAUGUACACUUGCCUAAAAUUAAUUAAACUAGUCCUAUUUUCUUUCAUAUUUUUCUUUAAAACAAUUAAAGUUUAUUAUUAAAAAAAAAACAGAAUACAUAUAAGCAAUUAUUGUUUGACCAUAUUUUUUUUAACAUUCUACUGCAACAUGCAUAUAUUACAUUUUAUCACAAAAAAAAAACAGCAUGCAAAUAUUUCAUUUCAUCACAAUAAAUUAAAACAACAUGCAUAUAUAUUUCAUUUGAUCACAAAAAAAAAAAAAUGCAUAUAUAUAAUUCAUUUUAUCACAAAAAAAAAUGGAUAUAUUUUGAAAAUUACCAACAUUCAUGCAUAAUAAUAUUAAAAAACGAAAAUAAAAUUAUCAUGAUAUUAAUUUUUUUUCCAGAUUUUCGAAAAAAAAAAUACUUUAUCAAACAAUCAACAUAUUUUACAUACAACACAUCAUCAACAUGUAUAUCAGUUAUAGUGUUAUGAGGAAAAAAUAUCACUAACUUGUUGAAGCUUUACAAUAGAAGAUCUGCAAUGCAAUCCAAAAACAGCAAGAGUUGGAGCAAUAGCUAACAACAGGAGGCGGAUAAAUAAAACAGCUGCAAAUAACAUACAAAAUAAAUAACAUUAAUAAGUAGUAAAAUUUAACAUCAUGAUAAAACAUAUAACAAAUGAAUAAUUUUUUUACCAAAUAAUAGAAGUUUGAUGAAUGUUUUGUAUGAAGGUGUUGUGUUUUAAGAGAAGAAAAACUUCUAAGGGUUAUGUGAAAGUUAAAACCGAUGCUUCUCUUAUAUAGGGAAGGGAAAAAACCAGGGCCUUUCCCAGGGACACGUCCGUCGGAAAUCUGGUCAAAUCCUAGCUUAGGUAGGCGCAGAAGUAGGUGCAGAACGGGUUGGAAAAACUGACGGAAUUGAGCAAUAACCGAGGGGUUACGCCCCUGGCAGGCCUGCGACGGACAGCUUUUGGCAGGCCCUUGUCAAGUCAACUGGAACAAAGCAGGGAAUCCUUUGAAUUUCGGAAACCGAGGGGCAGUUCCCUGGCUUUUUCUGUCGGUUUUCUCUGACAUAGCAGAGAUUCCCUUAGAUUUUCAAAAUUCAAUCUGGCGCCUAAAAUAAAGCCAGGGAUUUUGACAAAAAGCGAGGGGCAAAUCCCUGUCUUUUGUGCCACCGGUUUUCCUUGGUAUUUUCCCUGGCAAAUUUGCCAGGGGUAUCAAACCCUUGUCAAAAUCCUUGGCAAAAGGUCAUUAUUCUUGUAGUGCACCUAAGCCUAUUUUCAACAAUCUUUUCUACUAUAGGUGUUAUCACAUCUCUCUCUCUCUCUCUCUCUCUCUCUCUCUCCCUCUCCCUCUCUCUCCCUCUCUCUCUCUCUAUCCCUCUCUAAUAUUUUCAUUUCUGAUCAUAUCUCAUCUAGUCUUACCACAACAUUCAACACAACAUCCUCGUCUUCUCUACACUUAUUUUAUUCUCGUGUUUGUUCUUCAUCGCCAACACCCUGUUCAAUGAACUUUUCAAUGGUUUUAUGUGACUUUUAUUUGCAUCUAUGAAUCUUACCUAAACUCAGCUACGUAUGUAUUUAAAAAUAAUGCAUUCUACGUCUUAAAAUUUUAGAAAUUGUUUUUUUAACAUAAAAUUCAUCUGUUAUUUCUUUAUUAGCAUGGCCUUAAAUUAAAACAUACAAGUACAUAAAAAGUACCACCCAUAGAUUAUGAACGUAUGUGUGAAGUUAAUCUAAGGAAGUGUACGUGAACUAUGUUCACAUGGUAUACGUUACUUGAAGGUAAAGCUUACAUGUUUUAAAUUGACUCAAGGUUUAAAUAGGUAAAUCGUUCAUGUAAGUUCACGUGUUUUUUGUUUUCGUCAUUGUAUCAUUUUUUUAUUCUAAAAUAUACCCUGUAAGUUAUAAAUAAUUUGCUUUUGGCCCAUGUCGUUAUCAUCUGUUACAAAAAUGCAUGUGUUUAACGGCAGCUGAUAUGGCGAUGUGUGACGUGGCAAGUGAGGUUUAUAAGUCGUUUCAGAUGUCCACUGACAAGGUUAUAGGAACCAAAUCCAAAAUGGAAGAUUUAGAGAGGGAUGCAAUUCAAAAACAUGAAUUUACAAAAUUUCAAACUAAAAACACAGUUUUCCUUUCUUCAUCUUCUUCCUUCCUCUUCUUCAUCAUCUUCAACCUCACAUUCAUCAACCUUCAUCAAACUCAAAAAACAUAAAUUAGACAUUCAAACUCUUUAAUCAAAAUCUCAUUUUCCAAAACUUGAAUGAAGAAGAGGAAAAUAAAUGGGAGACGCAAAGGAGGAGGAGGAGGGUGAUGUUUGAAAAUUUGAUAUGAUAAACUAAGGAUAUAAACUAAGUGAUGAACAACACAAAUAUUAUGAUAAACUAAGUGAUGAACAACACAAAUAUUUUUCAAACGGAAAAGUAAAACAUAUUAAAUGUAACUUUUUAUGAAAUAUAUUUUAAUAACAUUAAAAUUUAUUAUGCAUUAUGCAAACAAUUGAAACAUAAACUAUGAAUUAAAACUGAAAUUACAUAAAAGCAAACAACGGCAACCUUAACAUAAUACUCCAUAAAUCUAUUUGUAUCACCACAUCUGAUAUGGUUCCACAUCAACAUCUCAGAUUAAAGUCUUUCCAAACUAAUGAAUCUUGAUUUGAGAAUUGCAAAUGCUCUUAACAUCAUGGGAACCCGGCGCCAUAUUAACCGUGAUGUUACAUGUAUUGUAAGCUGUUCCCUUCAAUUUGAUAUACUUAAGAACAAUCACUUUACCAGGAAAUUCAGCCUUUGAUAUCAAUGUAAAUUUAUAACCUGGUACAACUUCUUUCCAGAAGUCAGGGUUAUUUAUCAAUUUAUUCACCGUCAUAAGUGUAUAAGUGGACACGUUUAUUUCACUAUGUGCCGGGACUAAUUGUGACUCAAUUGGAACAGUACCUACAACAGUAUCAUGAUAAGUGACAUAACUAUAUGAUUUUUUAAAUUCGAAGCUCCCAAAAUUAGGGUUCCCUAUUGUGACCAACGUGGAUAUGUUCAUAAUUAUGGGCAUAUCGGGUGAAAGUAGAUCGACAGGUUCAACAUGGACAACAAUAUUAGGAUCUUUAGGUUUGAAAACGGUGAAAAUCAAGGCUAUAGUCACAAUUGAAACAAUGAUGAAAAGCAUUGCAGAUACACUCAAACAGAUUUUGAGUCUUGAUUUAGCCAUGGUUUUGGUUUUUGGGUAUGAAGAGGAUUAGAAGAAAAUGAAGAUUUGCGAGAAAUCAAUGAAGAAAAUUUAUCUGUGUAAAAUAAUGUUGUUGAUCGUUUGUUAUAUAGCUAGAACUUGAAUUUUUUAUUGGAAAUUUUUUGGAUAAGGAAAAUUUAGGUUAUUGGAAUAUACAAUUAAAUUAGUAAUUUUUUUAUAGAGUUAAUUUAGAAAUUAAUUUAUGUGCACGGUUAAUGUCAAGAUUUUUUUCAUAGUCAAUUAAUUAUGAAUAGUCAAAUGAAAAAAACAAGUAUUAAUUUAAUUAUUGUUACCUUGAAAAUCACACAUAAGAUAAUUUUGAUUGACAAUAAUAAAACAUUUUACACUGAUAAUAAUGUAUUAAAAUUAAAUUUUCUUUUUUUACACGUGAAUUUAUGUGAGAAUUUAUUGAUAUAUUUAUGUAGGUCAAAGUUUGUUUGCCUUUCCAUAUACUUUUGAUUUACAGUAAAGGGAAUUUUUAAUCGUUCACCAAAAAAAUUUGAAUUUUUUAAUUCAAAAACUAUUUUUGAUUUGGUUCAGUUGGAAUGAUGAGUAAUCAAAAUAAAUAUGUUUGCCUAAUUUGAAUGUUGAGAUCAGAUCAAACACAAAUUUACAUGAUCCCUUCGUUGGACAUCUAAUUUGUCCAGUUGUUGUUAAUAUGUUUGUACUAUGAUGACAAUAAAAAUACAAAGACCCUUUAAAAAAAAUGCAAAGACAAAAUAAUGGAUAUCAUGUGUCUUUUCCUUUGAAAUAAAAAAGGAUUACAUUCAUAUUACAAAGAUUAAUUCUAAUGUGAACAAAUUUUAGAGGAACUAAGUUUAAUUUUAAAUUUGAAAAUUUUGAUUUGCACCUUUAAAAUCUAUUUUAUUUUAUUUUGAUAAAAAAAAAUAUCUUUCUUUUGGUUUUAGUAUACUCCCUCCGUUUUUUAAUAUAAGCAAAUUUUGACUUUUAGAUUCAUUCAAUUAAUGAUGUAUAUGAUUUAUAUUAUAGACCACAUACAUCAUUGAUUGAAUGAACCUAAAAGUCAAAAUUUGCUUAUAUUAAAAAAUGGAUGGAAUAUAUGUUUCCUGAUUCCUCUCCAUUGAAAAUAAUCUUAUUUGAAGUGCGUCCAAUACUAAAUGUGUGUACUUCUUGCACGAACUUAAUCGCCAUGUUGGAGAGUCUAAUAUUGUAUGCUAAGUCCAACCUCCCAUUGGUAAAACUCCCAAAACUUUUUUCAAAUUUGAUAAUGUCCCAUAAUAGUGCCUCAUAAAUUUGAAUUUUUAAUUAACACAAUUUUUAACUUUAAAGUGAUUUUACUUAAUGGUUUCAAUUGAUUCAAACUAGGUACGAUUCAAUCGAGUUUUGAAGAUAUGAUUCAACCAAUUCAAUUAGUCUUUCUAAACUUUAGCCCUAAUACUCAUCCUACUUGUUCUAUCAUGCCUUCAUGCUAAAUGACAUCAUCAAUUGGCAAUAUAAGCACAUAUACGGAAAUAUUAUUCAUAAAAACCUUAUGUACCUUAACUAAUUACAAGGUUAACUCGAAAACUUUCCAUAAAAAAAAUAAUGAUUGAAGAUUAGACCUAAUUAACCCAUUUAAACUUUACAUGCAUGUAAACAUAUUUCAUGACUCUCAUGCUUGAACAACUUCCCUUUCUCAAUACCCUUCUCAAAUCAUAAAUAAUCUCACCCUUAUUGUUCAAAAUUGUCGCAAAUUGACGAGAUAAAUAAUUAAACCAUUAAGAAAAUACAUUGUUGCUGAAAAUCCAAAUAAAAUUUGGUGAUAAUGAGUUUGUAUGAAGACGAGUGCUUGAAGUGUGUGAAUGAGAAAAUGGUUUUAAGUUUUUGUGAAACCUUUGUGGUUAAGAAAUGAAAAGUGGGAUUAGGUCGACAAAACCAUAGUAAACUGAUUAAUGGUAGUGGAAACGAGUAGUUGUGUUAUUAAUGUGAUUUAGUGGGGGAGGUUACACAUUUAAUCCGUAGUUUCCCAGAUUCACAAAGUUCACUAGGCGAACAUGUGCCACGCCUAGCGAACUAGUCCAUAGAGGGAAAUAUAAAAAAAUUCCAUGCGUUGGACGAGCAAGUUCUCGCCUAGAGAAUUUGACAGAAAACAAAAUGUUUCAAGUUAAAAUUUCAAGGUUUUGUCCCGUGAGCAUAACUCAGUUGGUUGAGUUGGCAGACUAUGGAGUUGGCAGACUAUCAUUUCAAUCAAGAUGGUUCAAAUGAAGACUUCUUUGCCAUUAUCCUUGAUACUGCAUCUGUAAAUAGCAGAACUUUUGUUGUUGGUUGAAUUUGCAGUGUUGCAUUAUCCAUGAGAUAUUGCAAGGCAUGCAAUGAAAUUGUUGCUUGCUCCAAGAUCAAACAAGGCUUUGGCAAACAUGACCCCGCUGAUAACAAUCGGUAAUGUAACCCUUCAUGGAUCCCUACACUUCGAUGAUUAUCACGGUAUGCAGUGUUUCCAAGGUACUCUCGACUGCUUUUCAUCUAUUUUGACAGUUUCCUUUAUUUUGUGGCUUGUCCUGUCUUCGUCUUCCUUCUCGUUUCAUUUUUUUAGGGGAGACUUCUUUAAAGUUUAUUGGGUUAAAUAAAUAAAUGGUUCCUCUAAAAAAUUUUAUUUAUGAAAUUAGUCCAUACUUUUUAAUCAACUCAUGACUUACCCUUCAUAUUUUAUAAUGAAUUUUUUUUAGAAAUGUGUAGAAAAUUAUGACAAUAUUUUCCAAAAAAAAAAAAAGAAUUUUUAACAAAUCAUUAAUUAAAUUGAAUUUUUUAUGUUUUUGGUGUUAAAAAAUUCAUGUUUUGUUAAAAAAUAUAAAAGUUAGACAUGAAUUAACUAAAAAGUAUGGACUCAUUUCAUAGAUGGAAAAUUUUGGGGAACUAAUUUCAUAAAUGAAAAAUUUUGAGGAACUAAAAUCAAAUGUUGGUAGCGGAACCAUUUACUUAUUUAACUCAAGUUUCUUUAAUAGUGACAUACAUAAAGAAAAUAAAAAGGUAAAACACAAUGGAGUCCAUAGAGAAGCAAUGGAGUCGGGGACAUUUUUCUUUUAAAUCUUUGUCUAUAAUCAAGAGCUUCAUCCAAAAGCCAAAAUAAUGAACAAAAGUAAAGUCAAUAUCCAUUGAUCACUCUAUCCUUUCGCUACUAUCUCCCCAAAGGUCACCUCCUAGUGGUUGUAUUAUUUUUUUUGGAAAGUUUGUAGUGCCUUUUUUAUUUUUUUUAACAAUGUUACAAGUAUCAUAUCUCUAAAAAAAAAAACAAUGUUAUAGGUGUGAAAUAUUCAAGAAGUUUAAAUUGAGUCGUAAUGUUAUAAGUGAGCCUUUUCAUUAUCAUAAGCUAAAUAUUAUUAAAAAAUGUUAACUGCAUCCCAAUGGUAAAUUUGUAAGGAAUUUAAACAUGAUUCAAUGAUUCCAUAAUCAUUAUCGGUGACUCUCAUAAUGUCACAUGAUAUUUAUACAGUGUCCCUUUAUUGAUUCCAACUUUUGGUUAUCAAUUACACAGGCUCUCGAUGGAAAGGUCCAUCAUUUGCUGCAUAAUUUAUGCAAAAGAGGAAUGCUAGCAACACUCUUUUUUGAGCAUUCUCUCUAACACUUACUUUUUUAUUGGAUGAAAUCCAUGUAGGACCUACACUUUGAAAAUAAAACUCAUAUAAAAUGGUGAAACAUAUAUUGAUUUCACUCAAUAAAAGAUUGAGUAUUAGAGAGAGUGCUUAAAAUAGAGUGUUGUUAGCAUUCAUCUUUAUGCCAAUUUUUGCAUUAUUAAUUUGACAGCUUGGUUUUAGGUUAUUAAUGCAUGUUAAAUUUGGACUCUUCCAUAUGAUGUGCACAUCUUGUGCUUGCUGGAGUUUAAUUUUAAUUUAAUAAAAUAUACUUUCUCUACCUUUCCAAAAAUAAAAUAAUACAUUCUUUACCUUUGUAAAGAUAAAAUAAAAUGAAAAGGAAAGAAACAAAUUUCAUAUAGUAAUUAUGACUCACAUUAAGGUACAUAUUUGAUUGUUUUAGAUACAUUUAUCCAUAGUUCAAAUGGUGCAAUUUUCCUUCAUCAUAUUCCAUAAUUUAAAUUAUUUUUAAGCAUCACACUUAUUUUUCAUUCAAAUGGUGUAAUAUUGUUAGGCUGAAUACAUUUAUGGGAGUUUGAAGUUAGGAUUUUACAUUUAUAUUUAAGUUUUUAACGUGUUUGUCAUUUUGUCUACCGAUAGCAAUUUUUUAGAAUCCAAAUGGUCCUAUCAAUCAAAUCAAUCAUCGCAUGUGUACUGUGUGUAUAUAGGGCAAGUAUGAUGUCUUGCUAAAACAAUACUUACAAAUAAAUUUACAUUUACCUUUAUGUUAAGAUAUUAAAAAGGUUGAAUAUGUAAAUAUGUGUGUUUACCUUUAGACCAGCCUCUCAAGUUCUUUAAAUUUAUUUCAUCAAUUGAUUUAUUUGACCAAUUAACACAAAUUAAGAAAAAUAUACAAAUAGAAAAAGAUAAUAAGUAAAUUAUAUAAAUUAAAAAGAAAUAAUAAAAUAAUGUAUAAAGAAAAAAAGAGAUGAUUAUAAUUUUAAUCAAUUACCUUAUCAUGUAUUGAAAUUCCCACAAGUUGGUCUAGUGAUGUAGGUUUAAAACAUUAGAGUGUACUUCUCUCAAAAUUAGAAGUUUAAAUCCUCUCGAUGUCAACUUUCUGUAGAUUAAUUCAUACAAAGAUUUGUUCUGAUUUUAAUAAACUCCACGCUAGUCAUUCCUUAGUCAUGUCUACCGAGUUUCCAAAAACAAAACGAAAAAAAUUAUCAUGCUUUAUGUACUCUCUUCAUCUUUACAUAUAUGGAAGAAAAAAAAACAUUGAAUUGAAAUUGGUGCAAAUGGUAUUAACUAGAAAACAUAAUUAGGAAAAAGUAAUUAAAGAUGUAUGAACUCCCUCCAUCAAAAGACAAUCGACCUUCUUUGAUCAAUGCGACAUUCACUUAACAUGUUUGAUUAUAAUUUUUUUUUUAAAAAUGCUUGAUGGUGCGAAACAUUUUUGCAAAUAUCGCACGAAUCAUGUAUUUGUUUUUAUUUUAUUUUGAAAGGACGAAGCAUACAUUUUUGUUAUUUCCCUAACACUGAGCAAGUACGCACCAUAAAAAACAAUCAUAUAUGGUAAUUUUUAUUUUAAAUAAUAAUAAUAAUUUUAAAAUUUGUUUCGCAAAAAAUAACGAAUAUUUGAUAAGAUAACUUAUAAUGGAUGACUUUAUAACGGAUAGUUGAUAAGUUUGUGUAUGACUAAUAGCGGAUAAACCUUUGAUUAAAUUUUUAGUGUUUGAUAAAGUACUGAUUGAACUAUCUUAUAGAUAAAAUGACAUAAAACUGAUAUAUUUAAUUAAUUUUAUUUUUCAAUUAAAUUGUAGCGAGAAGGUUGUGAUAAUUAAUAAUAGUCUAUAAUCUUUAAGGUAUAAGAUACAAUUUUAUUUUUUAAAACUGUCGAAUUUUAAAAUAGGGGGAUCAAUUCCUCAAAAAGAUAAAAAUAGAAGGACUAAAAUUGUAAUUAAGUCUUUUUUUUACAAAUAAUUGUUAUAUUGUAUCAUUGAAAAAGAUAAAUAUAGAUUGUUACAAUAUAAAAGUACAAAAUUUACAUGCGCCAACACAAUAAAACGAGCAAAUAAACAGACACGGAGUACCCAUCGAUCGUUUGUUUAUUUAUAAUAAUAAUAUUAAUAAUAAUUUUUUGGGAGAAUAAUAAAAAUAAUAAAGUGUGGAUUUGUAAGUAACUUGCUUUUAAUUGUGCAGAUAUACUUAGGUGAAUAAUAAGAACAGAUGCUUCGCGUGGUUUGUGCGAAAUAUUUUCGCACCAUUUAGCAUCACUCUUUUUUUUUACUAUUAUAUAAAAAUAAAUUGUAGCAUAUAAGAUAUUUAUUUUGUCAAAAGAUUAAGAUAUUUAAUUUGUUUCAAUAAAUAUUUUCAAAAUAUUAAAGAUUAAAAUUGUGUUAACUAAGGCAGAAAGAUUAUUAAAAAUUGAAGAGAUAAUUUUUUUUUUACAAUAAAGAGUAAUUUUAGGAGAGAGAUGAAGAAUGUUUAAAGAAUUGAUUUAUUGAGGGAAAUAAAACAAGACAAGAAACAAAUAGAAAAGGCAUUGUUAUUGUUGUUGAGAGAGAGUUCGUGGGUUGCCUCGCUUAACAUCGCUGUCGUUUUGUUUUUCAGUCCAAACACAAUCAUUCAUUCCUUGUUGCCGUUUUACUCUCUCUCUCUCUCUCUCUGAAAUUGAAUUCAUCAUUCAGCAACAUGAACGACCUUCUCACUGUAAGUUCAUAUUUCUAAUUCACCCCCCAAAAAAAAAUUAAUUAAUUUUGAUUACUGGGUUUUUACUUCCAUUUCCUAAAUUCAAUUUUCAAGUCAGGUUUAAUUUUUAGCUUUCAAUUUUAGCAGUAUGAACCUGAUGCAAUCAUGUUUUGAUAAUUUGAUUCUUUGAUUUCAUCACUAUUAGAAGAUCAUAGUUAAUCCCUAUUUAGGUUUUGGGUGUUUCAAUUCAUUCUGAUAUUGAUUGACUUAGGUGUUUUUUCUCUCUUUCUUUUUGAUUUGACUUGGAUUGAAAUUGAACUCAAGUAUCAUGUUUUUAUAGAUCAAUUUUUGAAGAUAGUUUUUUUUUUUUUUUUUUUUGCAGGAUUCAUUUGUUAGUGAGGCUAAUCAUGGACAACCUUCUAGACAAGGUGAUAUUGAAAUGGGAUUGCAGGAUCAAAGAAGCAGUUCUGAUAUGGGAAUGGAAGCUUUUAAUAAACAGGUUAACUAUGUGUUUUUUAUUUUAAUCUUUUAUGAACUAUAGAUACACCUCGGAUUAGGCGUGUCUUGAUGUCGGAUACCUAUCAUGUCUGACGCAGACACUGACACAUAUGAUUACAUUGAAUUAUGUCAUUUUUUUUAAAUUAUAAUCGGUGUCGAUUUGUUCGUGUCUGUGCUGCAUAGGACUUAUGCCAACAUUUAAAUUUGUAAAAUUGAUUCUAGUUAAAAGUGAGUUGAAUGUGAAGUGGUUUGUGAUUCACGUAUGUAAAUUUAAGUGUAACAAUCAUGUUUGAAGUCAAAAGCUACAAAUUCUAGCUUCAAGUUAGAGUCAAUUUUAGUUAGAGACAAAAUCAAUUCCAAUGGAAAUCACUCAAACAUGUUAAAAUCAAUUGUGUCUGGAAUCACUUUUGACUCCUCCUAUGGUGAAACCAAACAUACAGGGUAUAAUGAAACUGAGAAGUUUUGAUGCUUCAAGCUAUUUUUGUUCAGGAUGACAAUUGAAUAUCCUAAGUUUACUGGUAUUUUUUAAUUUUGUUAAUUAGAUCCAAGAUGCUGAUAAACAAAUUGAGAAGGUGUCUGCGCUACUUCAAAAGCUAAAGGUAUCCAUUUAGUUCAUUAUAUAUUACUUUGUAGCAGUAAUGUCUCCUUAUAACCGUUUUGUUUUUGACAAACUUAUAACCGUUAGUAAAUGCACAUUUGGUAGGAAGCUAAUGAGGAAUCAAAAGCUGUUACAAAAGCAUCUGCCAUGAAAGGUAUUGUAACUUGUUACAAUGCAAUGUCUGUAAUUCUUUUAGUUGAAAAUACUUCAAAUUGUUUAUUACUCAUAAGAUUUUGCUGGUACUGGUUACUGAAUCAUGACAAUUGUCUUGCUAACAACAGUGACACGUUGAUUAAAUAUUUCAUAUUUAUUUCGUUUGAAUGUGAAAUUUAGUGUUCUUUGCAUGACUAAUAAACCUCUUACGUCAUUCUCAGCUAUCAAAAAGAGGAUGGAAAAGGAUAUUGAUGAAGUUGGGAAGAUUGCACAUGGGGUCAAAGCAAAAAUAGAAGCUAUCAAUAGAGAAGUAAUGUGAUGCUAGCUGAAUAUUGUUAAGUAUAUGUAAGUUUGUUAUAUAGAUUUCAAAUACGGAUAAAAAAUAGUUAACCGGGAUAUGUUUUAUGCAGAAUCUGAACAAUAGACAAAAGCCUGGCUGUGAGAAGGGAACUGGUAUUGACAGAGCAAGAAUGAAUAUGACAAAGUAAAUAUAUAGUGUAUAUCUUUAUUAGCAUACUUGAUAAAAACAAUUUAAGAAGCUGAAAUAUCUAUUUUUUCUUGAAAUUGCAGUUCAUUGACUAAAAAGUUCAGGGAUCUCAUGACAGAAUUCCAGGUUUGUUAGUCUGAAACACCGAACACUAGAAGCUGUUUUUCCAAGUUAAUGUCUAUCAUCUCAUCAAUGUGUAUGUUAUAUUGCAGACUCUCAGACAAAGAAUACAAGAUGAAUAUCGUGAGGUUGUGGAGAGAAGAGUUAUUACAGGUAUGUGCAUUUUAGCCCCUUGAUGAAGUUAACUGUGUUGCACUACGGUAGUACUAUAGUUAUUUAUACCCAGUUAUUCAAAAAGUAUAAGGUCAUCAUGUCCUUGUGUUGUUAACUUUGUGAUUGUUUGACUUGAUUCUUCAGUUACGGGAACUAGACCAGAUGAUGAGGUGAGUUUGAUUCAUGAAUUUGUUACUUAAGAUGAGAUAUCAGCUAUGCAUAAGUUUUGGUUUAAUUGGCUGUUUCAUGACUAUGUUAGACGAUUGACCACCUGAUAGAAACUGGAAACAGUGAGCAAAUCUUCCAGCAGGCAAUUCUUGAAGCAGGCCGAGGACAGGUACUUGAUUUAUGAUCUUUUAUUUGACUUUAUUUUUUAAUUUUAAAGAGCUAUUCAGAUAUUAUGACUUCUUCUCAAUUUGUCUCUUCUUCAAACAUAACCGUAUAUAGUUAAGUGAUUUUUUCGUAUUUUCAUCUCAUGGACGAGAUAUUGACGUGGUGAGCGGAUGUUAGCGUGUUGUUUCUUGAGCUUAAAGGAGGAAUAUCUUAUGUUAGCGUGUUGUUUCUCCAAGAUUAUUUUUAUUUUGAAACACAGCUGCAAUUACAAAUGCAGUUACGAUUUGUCGUUUGCUUGUGUGGAAAAUCGAAAUUUUCUUGUUGUAAAAGUUUAAUUCAGAAAAUUUGGGUUGUUGCAGGUCGUGAGCACUGUAGAAGAAAUUCAGGAGAGACAUGAUGCUGUGAAAGAAAUUGAGAAAAAACUUCUUGAUUUACAUCAGGUUUACUUACCAGAAGAUCCUGGUCUUCAAUAUUUGUUUAGUUGACAAUGGUAACAUUUAUAAUAAUAUGUCUAAUCCUAUUUUAUUAUUUUUCAGAUUUACCUUGACAUGGCAGUGUUAGUUGAAGCUCAAGGAGAAAUUUUAGACAACAUCGAAAGCCAGGUUUGUGUCUUCGCUCAUCCUUGAUUUUUCUGUAUAUAUAUGUUUGUAUGUAGAAUGCAGCGCAUGUUUAGUUCAAUUUGCGUUAAUAAGAGGCUUGUUCAGGUCAACAAUGCAGUCGAUCAUGUCCAGAGAGGGACAACUGCACUUCAAAGUGCUAAGAAACUCCAGAAGAAUUCUCGAAAAUGGAUGUGCAUUGCCAUCAUCAUCCUGUUAAUAAUAGUAGCUAUCAUAGUUGUUGGCGUUCUCAAACCUUGGAAGAGUUCUUAGACCCCUUGUCCAUAUAUAUAAGAGUUGUGUUGGUUGGGAAAGCAUUUGCAUGCGUCAGCGGGAACAUCUUAGAGCAGGAUUGAUUUUUAAGACUUUUACUUGUUUGUAUGAUGCUUGAUUUGUGUGUGUGAUUGUCUUUUGACUUGCUAAUACAUCGGUGUGUCUCUGUCUGACAAAAUACGAAAAUUCUUAUUCUUUGUAGCCUUAAAAGUUUAUCAUGGCUUCUUAUUUCCUUGUACCAUUCUAAAGCUGGUUUUGUUGCCAUUUGCUUGUGACAUAUAUUGCAUUGUUGUUUUCUUCUUCUAAAGAAACUACCUUUUUUUUCUCUCAUUUUGUUUCUCUUUAUAUGUUUUUUCAUUUUGUUUUGCCAAAUUGUCAGUUUCUAUUCCCACCCCCCAACAUGUGUCUGGAAGUAUAAGUACAAGAAAAGCACAGUUUUGUUUCCGUUGGAAAGUAUACUUCCAGACAGUUAGGUAGGUUCCCAAAAAAGAAAACAUGUUAUCCAAACAAUCUUAACUCUUGAACUCCAAUGCUUGAUCAAGAGUUAUGUUUGAUAAUCCGAAGUGUUAUAAUUUUGAGAAAAAAUGUGAGGUUUAUUUUACUAUAAUUUCCCUUUUUCUUUAAUUGCUUUUCAGUAUUAAUAUUGAUAUUUUGUGAAUUAAAAAUUAAAAUAAUCUCGUGUAUAUAUAGCACAAUUAAAAAAUUCAAAAGGGGUGUGAUCAAAGAAAAAAGAACAGAUUUCCGAUCUAUUUUGUCCAUAUGUCAAUUGCUACCUUUUCUUUUAUUGUCCUUUGAGAAAAAGUUUCAACUACUAUAGUGCCUCAUAUUUUUCAUCUGAAUUAGGAUAGACAAUAUUAUAUGUUAAGAAUAAUUAUUAUUUUACACAUUAUUUGCACACUACAUUGAUAGAGUAUUUGUGAUUAUGCGAGUUCUAUAAAAAAAAAUUCUUAUAUAUAUAGGGAGGGAAGGAGAUUGGUUUAAAAUGAUUUUAAAGAAAGUUAUUAUAACAAAAAUUAUCCCUCGUUAAAGUAUGAACAGUUUGAGUUGAGAUAGAUAAAUAGGUUUUAAACGAAAGUGAGUUUGAUCCUCCUAUCUAGAUUGCUUAGAACAACUUCAACUAGGGUUCUUACAAUGUUUUUAGGGGUUCAUAGAGUUUGCCAUGGAAAGCAUGGCAUCCAAACUCAAAUUUUAGCAUUAUAUAAUGAUAAAAAAAAUAAAAAUAAAAGAUUUUAGGCCCACUAUAGUGAUGAGCUCAUUAGUAAUUGUGGAAGAAAUAUACCAUUCAUUGAAAAUUAUGCAAGUUCUGUAUGAUUUGGUGAAAUCCAUUUGAAUUUCAAUCGAUAAAAGUGUGCAUUGAAAAAGCGUGUUAGAGAGUUUUCUGCUAACACUCUUCUUUAUAACCAAAGAGGACAACGGAGAAUUAGAAAGUGGUCUGGGUGGUUUUUGGCUGAAUAGAGAAGUUGAUCCUCCUUAAAAUUGACUUAUCUCUGUUACUAUUGUUUUACUGCUCAUCAUCUUGUGAGGAGCAUUGCUCCAACCAUUUUGAUUUUUUAGUUCAUUUCAGUUUAUUUUCCAAUUUACAGAGUAAUACCCACAUAUUUUCCUCUAUCUGUUCUGGUUACUAUUAGUUUUGUUGAAAGGAAAAACAGAAACUAACCCCACUUUAAGUAACUCAAUAUGAGAGCCAUUGAUGUUCUUAAAUGUUACAUCAUUGAGAAAUUCAGUUCCCUCCCCCCAUAUUGCUCAAAACUGGGACAAAAUCUACCAGAAUGUAGUUUUAGAGUAAAAAAUAAGACACCAGAAGAUAGCUUCUGGUGGUUGAUAGGCUUUUGGAGCAAUACGGGGUGCAGAGAGCCUCACUCUACAUACGAAUUAAUUUGCUUAAAAGCGAUUGGCACAUAGGAAUACAUUUAAGCAAAGAUCAUUGCUUUUUGAUUUACAGAAGUUAUCCUGUGAAACUUUUGAAUAUAAACCAUUGAGCGCAAAACAUUUCAAUCUUAACACUGUUGGAUUCAGAUUCGUUUUCUUUCAAAAUCAGUUUCUUUUCCCACCAUCAAACUUAGAUACAGUCACUUUGUCAAAUAAAGCUUAUAGUUUCUUUAAUGUAUUACAGCAAUUCCUUUAUUAUUUCAUACUGCUAAUCAUUGUGUUGUCAAAAUGGCAUUCUGAUACAAACAGGUGGCAAACGCAACUGAUCAUGUGAAGUCGGGUAACGAUGCUCUACAUACUGCAAAGAGUUUGCAAAAGAAGUCAAGGAAGUGCAUGAUGAUUGCCAUUAUAUUGGUCCUGCUCAUCGCCAUCUUUAUAGUACUCGGUGUUGUGAAACCAUGGAAGAAGUAACCAGAAGAGUAAAGUCACUUUUACACAAGAGAAAUUUCAAUAUUUCAAAUACAUGUUUUUUCAAGUACAUGUCAACAUACAUUUGAUACAGCAGUUUAACAAGGUUCAUGGUAUCUCCUAUUUUUACAUUUCUGAUAGAGGUAUCUAUGUUUAUUGAAUUGGCUUUCUGUGCAUAUUUGCACGGUUAAUGCAUACUAAGAUGUCAACUUUUAUAUACUCUGAGUAAUCAAAGGAAAAAAAAAUGCACCUUUGCAAUUCAUGGCUAUCAUUUACUUGUGAGCAUUGAUGACUUUCUUACCGGAGAUCAAUGCUACCCACACUUCACUUUGGUUAGCCAACUAUUAUGCUUAUUUAACCAAUGAUCUACUUAUAGUUAACCACCAAUCUAAGAGGGAUUUGGCAACUAGUAGUUACUCCCUCUGUAAGGAAAUAAAAGUAAAAAUAGGUCAAAGAUUUUUGUUACACACGGAGUAGGUGGUUAAGCAUAUGUAGGUUAUUGUUGGAUAGGCUAGAUUGAAAGUUAAUGAAAGUGAUGUGUGUAUAAGUCUAGCAUGGUAGUAUGUUCAGAAAAAAUAACUUCAGAAAAUGAUUGAUAUAACUUCAGAAAAAAUAAAGCAUGGUAGUAUGGUAGUAUGUUCAGAGGUAUGCAUACAAUUGAGGCAAGCUUGAAUUUUGUGAAGUUAUUCUAGAUAAAUAAGCUAUUUAUCUAAUUAACACAAUGGUUGAGAAUUAUAUAAAGUUACAUUGAAAAGGUAAAUGGAUGUCGAACGGUGGCACAACUUACAAGUUGGAGAAAAGAAAUCUCAUGGCCAUCAUUUUCUGUAAGAAAUAUUUGUGAUCAAUGGGGGAGCUUCUUUAGGGCACGUGAAGCAGCUUCCCCAACCCCAAAACCCCUUUUUUGAAAAAAUUAACAUGAGGGAUAUGAGCCAUGUUGUGCCACCAUCGAUCCAAUCUUAUCAAUUUUAUAAUCUCUUCAUCAAUUGAGGUAACUGAUGUCAAAGAUAGAAUUACCUUUUUAUAUAAUCAUGUGCUCAUUUCAAAGGCUUGAACAUGAGCUAGCUUGGAGCUUUAGCGAAAAAGCAAGGACUACAAAAACUAAUCACCUGCUUUCAUACUCUGGCUGUUUCUAUAAUAGUAUCUAUAGCUAACACUAACAUAACUUCCUUUGAGUAUGAACAUAUUUUGUUUGUGAUUGAAAGAUGAAAGAAAUUUAUCUCUGUAAGCUUAUAUUUACAGGAAAAAGCUUCCCUAAAGUAAAUUUGCCUCUAAUUCAAACAAGUAUGGAUAUAUUCGCCACUUGCUCAUUUUAGAGACACGUUCACUUUAGAAGUGCUAUCUCUGACUCACGUACCAAACUUUGAUUUCAUCAAAACGAGAAGGAAAAUACACGUACAUACCUUUCAAACCUGUAUCUCAAAAGUUAUCACACCUUUCAACUGUUGCCAAAACUCAUCAUUACCCUGAAAUAUUUAGUCGGUUUUUGCUACUGCUUGCACUAUCAUCAUGCAAUAUCUCAGUUAUCUUGCAUAAUUCUUGGGGUGCUUUGAAAUUUUCAACAGCCUAAGCACCUAUUGUCUCCAUUGCUAGCAAUAUCAUGAGAUCUCAUCAGUAGAGCACAUACUAUUAGCCAUUAUCAUUGCUCAUCUACAACAAAAAUCUUCCAUACGCAUCAAGGCCUCAUGAAAAAACAGUGAGCUAACACUAAAGUUUUGAAGGCAUGUCUGGCAUGAAGAAAGAAGAAUAGCAGGAAAAAAGUUUCACCAAUUGCAUCUUCCCUCAGCAUCCAUAGCGCUUAACGAGGAAUGAAGUCAUUGAAUACCCUGAAGUUUUGAUAUUUUCAUUGCUGAAUAAGAUAGCCCAGAUCACAAUCAAACAAAGUUUAUCAACUGCAAGCUGAUAUUGCCCAACAUUCACCACUAACCACAAGUUCCAAUUUUAACUGUCUAUUCUCGUCCGUUGAAUAUCGCCUCCAGCUAUAUUUGUAACACUUUCUUAUCAGUAGGAGAAAGAGAGAGAACAGUCUAAUUUAUUGAGGGGAGAAGAGAGGCAAUAGGCCAUACAUUCUCUAGUGGGAAUUCAAACUCUGUCUCUCUGGGUUGCAAAACUAGGCAGUCACCACCGCACUAGCACCCACAGGAUUACUAGCAAGUAGCAAGCAACACAUUUCACUGGUCCCUUUUCUUGAUUAAAUUCAAACCUUCUAAAAUAAUUUGUUAAAUAAAUAUCAGGAAUAGGAACUAUACCUUUUUCAAUUAGGCACAUUAUCUAGGAGAAUUUAUUUUAUUUUAAAAGUGGAGAAAAUAUAUUAAACUUUCAGAAUUUCAUCUUUUCUUGAUAGAUGACCCACUCCAGUACUCCACGGUAGCAGAUGAACAAAUUUUUAGCUAUCAAAACUAAAACAAAUUUAUGGAAGUACACAUAGCCAAUUAAUUUUUAACCAAAAAGUACAUAUGGCAACUUGAACAACCUUUUUUCAUUCAAAUCAACUACAUGAAGGGAAUUACAGUAAUUUAUAUCCCAACAAGUUUUCAUAUUUCUUGGCAUCUUGGGUUAUUACGACUAAGGGCCCGUUUGGAUUAGUCUUAUUUUGAGCGUAUGCAAAACAACUUAUGCAAAUAAAUAAGCUUUUAAGUAUUAUUCUCUAGUUUGUCAAUGUAGUUUAUGAAAAAACAAUUUAUGAAAAUACAAUUUUUGUUAUUGAAAACUUCGAAAUUAACAUAAAAUCUUAGUUACUUGUAUAAGCUAUUUUUCAUAAGCUCAAAAAUAAGCCAGUCCAAACGGGCGGGCCCUAAAUCUACAACCAUAGCAUUUAUUAGUCCUCCGGCAUAUGAAAUGAAAUAAACAUCAAGAGUAGCACUAUCACUAUUUUAAGACCCCAAUAUGAUUAUCAAACUAUCAAAUACCAAAAAAGGUAUGUCAAGCAGAUUAAGCUUCGUGUAAGGUAAGGGACAAAAACAUAAACCUUCAAGCAGGCAAAAAACCUCAAACAAUCAUGUGUCAAACAUUAUUAAACAACCAAUGGUUGACAUUUUAAUUUAGUUCCAAAGCAGUCCUUUUUUUUUUUUUAACGGGAAGUGCUUUUUAUCAAACAACGAUAAUCAUAUAAACUUUACUCAGAUACUCUUGGCAGUUAAAAAAUAACAGAAUCUCACUGCAUUUUUUUGUCAUGUGGUGUCGUCCACUGUCCAGUUUAUCUGGUUACAGUUUCCUCUUCUAAUUGUUUUAGCAAGACUUGUAUGAGAUAGAGAUAAAAGUACUGAUGGUACGCUCAAGGAAGAGUAAUGUUACUACUGUUUCAAAUAGAAUCGAAAGACAUGAUAAACCUGCAUAGUAAAUAUGAAAGUUCUACUUUGUCAAAUCGCUUCUGCGUCUCAGAAUCUCAACACCUAAGUAAUCAACCGGACCCUGAAUCGCCACAUGAGGCUUUCCAACCUUCACACGAACAGUAGAUAUUUCUUUGUGAACUUCCAAAGUAGCGAUUGCAAUUUUAUGGGCCACUGACUCCAGAAGGUUGUGAGCUGGUCCUUCAAUAACUUUCUUAGCUAUAAGAUAUAUUUCAGCGUAACUAAAAGAAUCAGACAAGUUAUCAGAUUUUCCAGCAGGUUUGAGAUCCAACCAAGCAUCCACGUCUACCACAAACUUCUGUCCUAGUGUCCUUUCUUCCGCUAUUGCUCCGUGAAAACCAUAGAAAGUCAAUCCCCUCAGAAUAAGUUUGUCUCCCCCUAUUAAUGCAUCAACACCUUCCAUUCUAUCCGCGCGCGCGCGCACACACAGAUAAAAAAAUUCUCAUGAUAACAAACAAGGGGUCAUAAAAAUGUAAUAUUCAGCAUCUGAAAAAGAUCGAAGGACAACGAUGCAGUAUACAGCAUAGCAAGAAUAAACUCAGAUAUCUAAGAUUGAUACUAGACUAACAACUGCAUAGCUCAAACUCCCAUUAGCUGACGAAAAACAUGAUUCUGUUUCAAAACGUCGCAUUUGAUUGACUGUUUUCAUCUAAAAUAGAGUUACCUCCAAAAUAAACAUCUGAUUAAAAGUAAAAAAAACGUAACUCUAUGUAGAGUUGAGAGUUCCACACUUUCAUUUUUACCGCAAACCUACUUUUUAUGAUAAAAGUUUUCAACCAUAAACCAAUUCACUCGAAACCUACGAAGCACAGGCACUCCUCGGACUAGGCGUGUCCCAGUGUCGGACACGCGUCGUGUUCGACAUCGACACAUAUAAUCACACUGAAUUAUGUGAUUUUCUCAAAUUAUUAGCGGUGUCGGCAUGUCAGCGUCUGUGUCUGAUGUCCACGUCUGUGCUUCAUAGCUCGAAACUAACAUUUAAAACAAUAUAAUUUGCAACCACUCACCCAAACAGGCACUAAAAACACAAUUCUUUAAGUUUUCCACUGAACUUGUGAGCUACUGAAACUGUUCUCCUUUUUUCUUUUAGGAUUCAUUUAUUUCUUAGGAUGUUAAUUCACAUAUAUGCAAUCUGCUUUAAUAAAAAUGCAGUCUUUGCAUUAAACAGAGAAUCUCAAUGUAAAUUUAAUAACUUGUUCACUUAAUUUCCACAUAUAAAUCACUUCAUAAUUAAAUAAGAUAAUCCAAAAUCAAAUUUACAAAGGCUCAACAAAAGACAAAAAAUCCAUGAUUUAGAAUAUCCACUGAGCUUUUGAGCUCUUAAUACUUUUUAAUUUUUGGAUUUAAGAUUUCUCAGAAAGUAAAUUCGCAUACAUGCAAAGCUUUUAUUAUUAUUAUUAUUAUGCAGAAUUUUAAAAAAAAAAAAAAAAAAAAAAAAAAAAAAGGAAGAGCUAAUAAACAAAAGAGACAAAAGCAUAUAAUUUUACUGUCAUUAUCAUCAACAAAACAAACAGCGUACUGAUAAGAUCUAAGCAGAAUCAGGAAUAUAAUAUUCAAAAUCUGAAAAUAAUACAAUAAUAAGAAAGAGGAGUUUGAUUUGAAGAAUUAGAAGGUGAUAGAAAUAAAGAGUAUACCUUGAAAAGCUUGGAAUUCGAUGUUCCUGCAUGUAUGGCUAAGGUUAAGAAGAUGGAUCUAUUUGCUGUGAUUUGUGUUUUGGGAGAGAGAAAGAGGAGAUGGUGUUGUGAGGAGAAAGAGACGUGAGAGGAUGAAUUUUUCUGCAAAGUUUUUUUUUUUUAGGUGUUUAUUAAAAACUAUGAAAAUUAUUCAAAGGCAAAAGAAAUGUAUGAUUAAACAAUAACCAAUUAACAAUUUGUAUCACGUUUCUAGAAGAAAAAGAAAGUAAUAUGCUGGUUAUAUUUAAAAAAAUAUAUAGAAGUCUACGUUGAAAAAAAUAGACAACUUCAAUUAUAGACCAGUAGGAAAUUUAUUUUAAAAAAAUUAUAAACCUAGUGCAGUUUUUUUUUAUUUUUUAUGUAUUGUUUCUACCAAUUGAACUAAACUCGCGACUCUUAAAAUAUAUAUAUAUAUAUAUGCCACGUAACCUAAUAAUAAAUUAAAUUUACCCAAUUUAACGUUUAGAAUUUGUUCCGACAAUUAACUUAUUAAAAUUGAUUCAAUAAUCAAAUGAGUUAAAUUUGAUUUGAGAAUGACUAAAUUGCAUUUUUGGUCCCUUAACUAUUUAGUUAGUAUCGCUUUGGUCUCUUAAUUAAAAUUCGAUUUAUUUUGGUCCCUUGACUUCUUUCCGUUACACAUUUUAGUUCUUUUCGUUAGUUUUAAUUCAAAAGCGUUAGGUUUUCUUCAUUUUCUUCUGAAAUUUUUUUGAGAUUCUUGUUGUUGAAGGUUGACGGAGAUAAUACGAAGAAGAAAAUGAAAAAAUCUAACGUUUUUGAAUUAAAACUAACGGAAAUGACCAAAAUGUGUAACAGAGAGAAGUUAAUGGACCAAAAUAAAUUGAAUUUUAAUUAAGGGACCAAUGCGAUACUACUUAAAUAGUUAAGGGGCCAAAAAUGCAAUUUAGCCAUUUAAGAAAUGUAUGAUUAACAAUAACAAAUUAAAAAUUUGUUUCACAUUUCUAGAAGAAAAAGAAAGUAAUAUGCUGUUUAUAUUUAAAAAAAAAAAAAUUAUAGAAGUCUACGUUGAAAAAAAAUAGAUAACUUCAAUUAUAGACCAGUAGGAAAUUUAAAAAAAAAUAAAAUUAUAGACCAAGUGGCGGCAUAUUUUUUUGUGGUGGUCGGGGCUCGAAUUUUAGACCUUGCAUAUUUUAUGCAUUGUCCCUACCAACUGAACUAAAUUCACUACUCUUAAAAUAUAUAUAUAUAUAUAUCUGUGUGUGUGCGCGCGCGCCACUUAGUGCGUGUAGAAUAGAAUAAUAUUGUUGGAUGUCCGUGUUCACUUUUAAUUAAUUAACAUCCGUUAAUGAACUUUAUUUAACAACGAAUUGUUUAAAAGAAUCCAAGUUCGAUUCAUAACUUAAACAAUAGUAUUUUAUCUGAUUUUAUUUACUUAAUUAUCAAACAAACUCCAUACUACCCAAAUCUCUUCCGGCGGGAAUCAGAGAAGAAAGGAACAAAAAGAAUCUAUACAUGUGUGUGUUGGAAAUUUAUUCUUCAACCGUGAAGGUGGUGUGCGUCAAUCUACCUCUCCAAUUUGCAGCUUGGUGAAAUCACGGUAAAAUCAAUAUAAUUGGGAUACAAGAUUUGAAUAUGCACUAGGUUUGACGAUAUAAUUCUGUUAAAAAAUAUAGGUUUUUGUCAAAAUUAAUGUGUGACCAUGAUAAAACAACAUUUAGAUAGAGAGCAUCAUCGUAAAAAGAUGUAUUUUAUUGUUGUAGCACAAAAUUACUGUCUAAACUUCCAAAUGCACUCUUUCAUAGAAAAAAAAACUUCAAAAUGCAUGCACUCACACUUUUAUUGUUCCAAUUAGGAGUGAAUACACAAAAACAGACAUGCUGUGUAUAUGAACCAUGCAUAUAGCAUUUCUCUUGACACUUCAUUGGCUAGUGGAAGAGUGUCUUGAAAUCCAGUAAUUCUUUAUUUCUUCAGCUGUUCUUCCAGGUAUUCUUCCCGCAAUUAAAGGCCACCUGAAAAUGAAUAUACUAUAUUCAAAUGGUUAGUUUUAUUAAAAAAAAAUGAUAGAUAAGCCAAGUGUUAAUUAAUUAUAUAAAGGAAAUAUAAUUUAAUCAUACUUCAUUACCUAUCCCCCACUAGUUUAUGCAUUCUGAUGAUAAGAUCUUCCUCAUCUUUAGAAAAUUCAACCUUGGAAUUUACUUGAGUACCACUGGAAUUGGAUUGCAGUGCUAUAUGUAAAUUUAAAAGCAAAAAAUCACACUUCCUUAUCUAAAUGUAGUUUGUCAUAUUUAAUUUUUUUUAAGUAACAAAAAGAUUUUUUUUUUUAUUAAACAAGGUAGUUAGGUGCAAAACUUUUACAUGGAUCAUCAUCUCUUAUACGUAUCUUCGGUCAUUAUUAUAAGAAAAAAAUCAACUUUUAAAAUUAAUUGUAUAUCUGAUGCAAUUAAUCUAUUUUAUUGUUUAGAUAUAUCAUUUAUUCAAUAGACCUAAAAAAUAAUUUUCUUAUAAUAGUAACAAAGGAGUACACUUAAACAUUAUUAUGUGUAAAAACUCUUUUAUUGAUAAAUGUAUUUCUAUCAUGGAAUUGAGUGCUAAUUACCAAUAAUUCCUCAGAGCUAACAUGCAUGUUCUUAAUCAAACAUAUAUAUGGGGAAAUGAAUUAACUAACUAAAGGGUACCUAUAGAAGAAUCAGAAGAAACUUCCUCAGAGGAGCAUUCCACGUUGUCCAUAUAUCUUGCAAAGGGAAGUUUGGAAAAAGAUAUUACUAUAUGGUAUAUAGUAUUGUAUGUGAAUUAAUAGGCGGUGGUGUGUGUGUAAUAUAUAUAGGGCAAAGUAGUAUGGAGGAUCAGGGUUAGGGACAAUCGUUGACAAGAGUAGUGAAGAAUGGGUGGUGGAGAGGAUGGGAGCAAAGUAAAGAGAAGACUGAAGGUUGGGGUUUGACCAUUUAACUCUACUUUUCUUUUUGUUCCUAUAGGUAGUUGGACAUCAUUGUUAGCUCAAUAAUAUUAUUUCUGCUGGUUUAGCAAUUUUCUUGCUAAGUUGGUGGUUUUUGCCACUAAAAUGAUCGAGCCACUAUUGUUGGUUGUAUUAUUAUUUUUUGUCUAAUAUUUUCAACUCAUUUUUGAGUUUUCCUUCUAUAUUUUUCAUUUUUGACAUUCUGUAAAGUGGUCGUUGAAAUAGUUUCACUGUUAGCUAGGGAAUACAACUGUGACACAUUAUGUGAAUAUGUGACACCUACGUACACACUAAUCUUACAUUAAUGUCACCAAUUUUUAGACUAAUAUGCUAAUAAAAUUUGGUUCUUAGACACUAAUUUUCUAUAAUCAUUCUCAUGUAUAAAUAUUGAUAACGUGUAAUGAGACAUGUCUAGUUAACUCUGUCAUGUCAUUCUCUUUAAUGUUUAAUUAAGAUGUCAAUUUUUGUUUUUGAAAAAAAUGCUUAGAUAUGAAUUUACCAACUUAUUAAAAAGUCAAAUUAUUUUGACUAAUACUUACAUUUUUUAAUAUCAAUUUAGUGAAGUAUUCAAUUUAAUAGCUUUUUAUAUAUAAAAGUGGUUUAAUGACAUCAACAUAGUUUUUUUUAUUUUUAAGGAAUGACAUCAACAUAUAUAGUUGCGUUAUUAGACUUCCACAUUGUGAUAUAUCAAGAUUCACAUUUUGUUUAAAAGAGUUGUCUAUAUCCAACAUGCCUCAGACAAAAUUACCUUUGAUGGAGAGAUAUUAUGGAAAGAAAAAAAAAAGUUGUUUCAUGACUAAAGACAAUUUUUCUAGGGAAACUCGGAGUAAAUUUGAAAUUAUAAAAUUAUCGUAAUUUCUAAAUAUUUUAAUUUUAAUAAAAUAAAAAAUGAUCAGUACUAUAAUAUAAAUGUUAAAUUGACGGAUUUUAUACACUUUAAAAUUAUUCAAUAUAUUUUUAUAUUUUAGUGAUUAAAUUAGAGAUGACAUAAUUUACGGGUUAAAUAUUUAGUGCAUGGAGGUGGGUUCCAUAGAGGUCAAGUUGAAUGCUCUAUGGGCAACGAACGACAUGUCACUGUUUAUGGUUUUAGAGGAGGAACAAGGAAUAACAUGAUGAUAGUUGUGUGAGUAAUAGGGUCUCUCCGAAAGCUAUCACUCAGAAACAAUUAUGAAAACUAAAUAAAUUGAACUAAAGAGAAUAUAAAAUUGGCUAAUCAAAUAAAAUACAUUUCUUUCAAAAAAAUAAAAAUAAAAAUAAAAUAAAAGAUAUUUUUCCAUUGAUUUUGGUUCCUUUUCUUAAUUAGAUAAUACACUUAAUAUAUAAUAUUUUAAAUAGAUCCUAACCAUCUAUGUGACAUAAUCUUGAGAUGUGUAUUUUAUUUUUCUUUUAUAAGAAAAAUUUAGGGUGAGUGGAUGAAGCAUUAAUUUAUGCUAGGAAAGUCCUUCCAACUCAAAAAUUAUUUACAAAGAUAUAUACAUUUAGUGGGUACUUAUUAAGAUUGUAAAAUCCGCUCGCCGACCUUAGUUUUUUAAUGAGAGAAACUUCAACUUCUCUCUAAAUUUUUUUUAUCUUUCAUUCGUCGAUGAGGGGUGAUUUUAGGUCAUUUUUGUCCUAGAAUCAUCCUUCUGCAUAUUUUUUUCUCGUUUCUUUGUAUCUAAAUAAAUGAUUUUCGCAUAUACCAAGUUUUUUUUUUCUUUUUUGUGUUUUUCGUGAUUCUGUCGUCUAAGUGCCGUGUUGUGUUGUUCGUCGUCUUGUGCGACGUUGUUUGAUUUCACAUCUUGUUGUAAUGUUCGGUUGGUUCAUAUUGAAAUAUCAACUCGAGUCAAUCACAGAUUCAAUCAAUGAUUUGGAUGUCAACAUUGCAGGCCCGGAAGCAUGUGUAUUCUAGUGAUUUAUAUUUUAUCAUAUUAUUUGUAGACAUUUUGCCGUUGUAUGUUGUUAACUUGGGUGUUAUAAGUUUGUUCGCACAUUCACCUUUAUGUUUUAAACAAUGUUGAUCAUGUUAUUGGAUCUAAUGUAUUCCAUCAAUUUGAAUGAAUGAAUAUUGUUUUGUUUGUAGGGAAAAAAAUAUAUACAUUUAGUCAUUUAUUUUCUUCAAAAGUAUUAGUAAAGUUCAACAAGGACCAAUCAAAUUUAAGAUCUAUUUUUUUUACAAUUAGACCAAACAUUUGGAGUUAAAAACUUAAGAUGCAUUUUUUUUUUCACAAAGAUGUAUAAAAUAAAAUAAUUAGAUUUAUGGUUUAACAAUUGAUCUCAAAUGAUUAAUGAACUCUAAAAUUUCAUGAAUUAAGUAACACAAAUAAAGAGUGAACCAUCAUAUUCGUCCUUGAAUUUUCAUGGGUCGGCCAAAUUCAUCCCUCAAUUAUGCGAAAUAUCAACUUAGUCCCUGAAUUUGUCAGACGUCCAUCAAAAAGGUCCCUUCGUCCAAGUGCUCCGUUAGCCAUGCUGAUCUGUUGCCCUGCAUGCUGUGUUGUCUUGUACACGUGGCAAGAAGGAAGCCACGUGUUCAAGGACUAAUUUAAUUGAUUUGGAAAAAGUCCAAUUUUCAAUUUUCAGUUUAAUUAUUUUUUCUUCUGCUUUUCCCAUUUUGCCCGUGCAUUACCCAUACUUCCUCCCUCACAUUUCUCUCAGAAACAUCAAAAACGUCCUUGACUCUUCUCCUUCCCGCUAAAACUGUCUCCAUUCUCACCUCUCCAAAACCAUCAUCAUCUUCGACGAUUCUCACGUUUUUGAAGUUGUUGUGUUCGGCUGUGGUUAAAGGUAACACCUUUCCUCUAAUUUAUCAAGUUUUUGUGUUCGUAUUUACCAUUUUUUUGUCUGUUUUUUCGUUUUAAGUUUUUAUCAUUUUGUUUUUGUGAUCGUUGAUGCUUGUCUUGUUCUUUGUUUGUGUUUGUUGCGUUUUUGAGACAGUUGUUUUGAUUAGAGUUUUAGGGUUUUGGAUUAAGACUUAAAAAUUUAAAUUUUUUUCAGGUUGGUUUCUAAAAUUGAUGAACAUUUAAGUUUCUAAUGAAGGAAUUUAUAAGUUGAAUAAAACAGUUUCAAGGAUCAAUUUGAUAUCUGAUUAAACAAUUCAAGGACUUAUUUGAUGAUUUUUUAAUAUAACGUAGAAAUCUAUUUGAUAGAUAGAGAAAUAAUUCAAGGACUAAUUUGAUGGUAAUAUUAUUACAGAAAUGUUACAUUCCUCAAUCAUCUUCAACCUCUUUUCAUUAUAACUUUACCAUAGGCCAAACAUAUAAUGGCCUUCCUCGGUUUUUUGAAGUAUUGGAUUUUCUAACAACACAAAUUCUAGAACACCAACAUUCAAGCACUCUCACAACACCAUUAAACUUGAAGCUCGAAGAUGAAACUCGACUUUCAUAACUGUUUUUUUUCCAUAUUCCCACCCCCCAUCAUUUCAGAUUCAAUUUCAAUAGUUUUGCUUCAAGAAACUUUGAGGAUUUUGGCUUUCAAAUUCAAUACGAAAAAAAUUAGGGUUUGAAGUUUUUUGAAUUGGCGAAGAACUGGACCAUUUAUAAUUGGAGGAUAUUUUGGUGAUUUUAGAGUGUAAAUUGCAGAUUGUGUAAUUAGGGUUCCAAUGUUAUACAAUUGGGGAAGAAAGAGCUGUUAGGGAAGAAAAGAGCCGUUUGGGAAGAAAGUCAAAACAUUUUCUGCAAAUCAAUCAAUUUAGUCCUUCGAAAUGUUUGUUAUUAUCGACCAAAUUAGUCCCUGCCUACAUGCCGUCUGACAUGUGAGAGGUUAACGGCCAUGUCAGCCACGUUAACGCUCUGUUUGAACAGAAUGACUAACUUGAUUGACAUUUAACAAAUUUAGGGAUUAGAUUGAUAUUUUGCAUAAUUAAAGGACGAAUUUGGCCGACCCGUGAAAAUUCAAGUACGAAGUUGAUGAUUCACUCCACAAACAAAUAUAAAAUAAUACUCCCUCAAAAAAAAAAAAAUUGAAUUAAAUUUAAAAUAAAAUAAAGAAAAAUUAAAAAACCAUCGUUUCAACAUCUGGGAAACGCACCAGCUUUUGCUGGUCUCUCCAGCACCAUCUAUGUGGUUUUCGAAAACAGAUCAAAACUCCUAGUUCAUCUCUCAACUCAAUCUCCCUCCGGCUGCCACCAAGUGCAAGUACAGACUACAACCGUUACAGACGCGCGCCGCUCCUUAACCCUGCCGUGACCAUUCUUCCGCUUCUAACAAGGUAAACAAUCAGCACCUUCAUUCAUUUUUUAACAACACCAUCUAACUGUUCGAUGAAAUGCCCCUUUGAAAAAAUCACAAAUUUCUCUCAUUAUUUUCAUUGCAGGAUCAUUCAAUGGCUUUCAGAAACACAUUCUACAACGAUCUUCUUCUAUACCAAAAAUUGGGUCAGUCUUGUUUUGGGAACCGUGGCAGAUUCUAUGCUACCAAAGUGGAUUUGAGGAAACUUCGACCCAUGAUUCUCAAGAGAAUUGAGAGACGUUCCCAACUUUACCCGGUUCGUGCUAUGAUUCCUGUUGCCAAUGAGGUGUUACUUGCUAGGAAUGUUCUCAUCCAUGGUGUUUCUACUCUCAUCAAUUCGUUUCCUCUCAUGGCUUGCAAGUGAGUGAGUUUUAAUUUGUAAUUACACCUUUUUUUAUUGGUGCUUUUUUGGGCAUGUUUGGAUUGACUUAUUUGAGUUUAUCUACUUAUAUAAGCACUUGUGAAACUCUUUGUGAGGGCCUAUAGUACGUCAAUAACUUGUUUUUAGCUUAUUUCCGUAAGCUCGUUGUAAUCUAUGAAGCACGGAUACGGACACCGGACACUGACACGCCGACAUGGCAAAUAAUUUGAAAAAAUCACAAAAUUCAGUGUAAUUACAAGUGCCGGUGUCGUGUCGGUGUCGGACACGAUGCGUGUCCGACACCGGGACACGCCUAAUCCGAGGAGUGUCCGUGCUUCAUAGGUUGUAAUUAUACUUUUUGGGCCCAUUUGGAUUGACUUAAUUUUGAGCUUAUGCAAAUAAAUAAGCUUUUAUGUAUUUAUUAUUCAUAAGUUCUCGCUAACCAAAAUUGUAUCUUCAUAAACUACCUUGACAAAAUUAUGAAUUAACAUAAAAGCUUAUUUAUUUGCAUAAAUUAUUUUUCAUAAGCUAAAAAAUAAGCCAAUCCAAAUGGGCCCUUGGUGUAUAUUUGGUUUUACGGCGAGAAAAAUAGAGUUUGAGUGAAUUGAUUCUGGCGAAAAGUUAAGUUGUGGGUAAAGUAAUUUAUGUUUCAAUAUAUACGUAAGUAAAAGUGAGUUGAAUAAUAAAUUUGAGUGUAAAAAUCAAUUCUAGAGAAUUAGAAGCUACAUUUUCUAGAUUCUAGUAGAAUCAAUUCUAGAGGCAAAAUCAAUUCUACUCUAGGGAAGCCAAACAUGUCAAAAUCAAUUCUACACCUCUAGAAUCAAUUUGCACUCUUCCAAAAGUGGAAGAGAACAUACACUUAGAGAUUAAAUUGAUUUUAUUUUUUUAAUGUGAAGAGCAAGUGCAAUUGAAAAUGAAUUUUAAGCUUUGGGACCAAAAUUUAUGUGUUUGGGGUUGGUGCUCUAAAAUUUAUGUUGGUACUUUUGCUUUAGGAAGCGUCUUCUGUAUUAGCAUUGAAUAAAGUUGUAAUCUUUUUCUAGACCAAAAAAAAAAAAAAGUUGUAAUCUUGUUGAUACUCGUGGUUGCUUAUGAGCAAUGUAUACUGGGUAUGUUUUGAUACUUUUAAUUUUGGUUCAAAUUUCCAUUUAGGCAGUAAGAAGAUGGUGGAAGAAAUACCUGAAAAGGUUUUUUUUUGGUGAGAGAACAUAAGAUUGACAACAUUAGCCUAUUACAACAUAAGUGUAGAAAGACUUCUACUUGUUACUUGUGCUUAUAAAUGGUGAAUGUCACCAUAAAUCACGAGUUAUCCUUUUUUCUAUAUAAAAUGCUUAAGUUAUUUUUCUUGAGUAUUUGUGAGCUUUUGAUCUCUGAGCGUUUUUGCCAUUUAAUAACUUUCAAGUGUCACUAAGAAAAUUGUAUUUAACUUAGACUUGUGGUAUUCUCAAUGUUGUAAGCUCAAAUUAUUGAUAACUACGGUCUUUUCUAACUAUGGUAUUCAUUUACAGAUUUUGUCCAGAGAUAUACAUUGGUGAGCAGGGGCAUUUAAUUCCGACUUGCCGGGGUUACAAGAGACGUGCCAAGAACCGGGUUCAUGAAUGGGUCAAAGGUGGUUUGAAUGAUAUACUUGUUCCUGUUGAGACAUUUCAUCUUAAUAACAUGUUCCAAAAUGUUAUUAGGCAUGACCAAAGGUUUGAUUUUGAUCGUAUCGCUGCUGUUGUUGAGCUAUGUUGGCAAGCAGGGGCUGAUGUCCCCCAUGAUGAAAAUCUUAGUCCAAGUAGUUCGAACUUGGAAGCUGCUAAUGGCAAUGUUGAUGGUUUCGAGUCUUUGUCACCAAAUGUUCUUGCCGUAGUAGCAAAGAAAACUUUAGAAGCUUGGGAUGUUCUCAGGUCUGGGGUGGAAAAGUUGUUGUUGGUAUAUCCUGUAAAAGUUUGCAAGUAUUGUUCUGAGGUUCAUGUUGGGCCGUCUGGCCAUAAAGCUAGGCUAUGUGGAGUGUUUAAGCAUGAGAGUUGGAAAGGAGCUCACUUUUGGACUAAAGCUAAUGUGGAUAAUUUAGUGCCGCCAAAAAUUGUAUGGAGACGAAGGCCUCAAGAUCCUCCUGUACUUGUGAAUGAAGGGAGAGAUUUCUAUGGACGCGUUCCAGCUGUACUGGAUUUGUGCACAAAAGCUGGUGUCAUCGUGCCUGCCAAAUAUAAUGUUUUGAUGAAAGUGCAAGGUUUGUCUGGUCCGGCCAAUUAUAAGUUUGCAGCGGCAUUAGAAGGUCAAACAACAAACUGAAUCAUAAUCUGACACUCAAUCAUUUGGAGAAGAAAUCUGAGAGAUUCCUUUCAUCUGCCAUUUCCUGCAUAAUUUGAGGUUGUCUGGGAUAUCUGAAUAUGGAUCUCUGUGCCCGUUCUUCUGUUGGUCACAGAAAGAAAUUUUGAUCCCGACCAUAUUUUGUCUCCCAAAAUAUUUCUGCUGAGCAAAUUUGAAUCUCUACAUUUAUGUGUGACUGGACUUAAUGGACCCGCUUUUCAGAUUUGAUGAAGGUAAUUUAAUGUUCUACUUCUCCAGUCAAAGAUUCCACUCAAUUUUCCUUUUAAAUUAUAUUUGUCCAAUAAGGAAUCUUAAGUCCAAUAAUUGCUGGAAAUAUCAACAUAGGAGAUACUACAUUGUUGUAAAUGUGUGUAAAUUUUUUAUCUGUGCCCAAAAAAUGGCAGUUUAUCGCUGAAGUUUCAUUUUUCUUGAGAUAUCACACAAAUAGAAAGAUUACUUUGUUGACUGAAGAGUUUAUUUUUUAUCAAUUAUUAACUGUUUAGUUUGUAUAUUUGAAUCUUUUAAAGUAUUAGAUGCACUCUAGAGGGAAAAGCGCAAAGCUAUAAACGUCAAUUGAAAAGUCAAUGGAUAUAAUUGUGAUAAAAUAAAUACACGUCUGAUAAAUCACUGCAAGUGUAUGUUAGGACUCAUAAGAGCCAGGCACAGGUGCUCCGCUAUUUGAGUUGGUUUAUGGAAGGAACCCCCCCACCUUGAUUUUCUACUUUUCAGGGGAGGCUUUACUUUAGUAGAGGCAAUAGCAAAUGAUAUAUUGGAUAGCGAUGUGAUUCUUAAACAGUUUUCUUAUCAUUAACAGUGAAUCCAAAAACAAACGAAUCAUUCCGCGAACUAACAAAUAGUAGAGACGUGUCUAGUAAUGUGGGAGAUUAGGCAUGUCUUAAGUAGAGGUCAAACCAUUAGCAUUUAGUAGCUAGGCAUAGGGGUUAAAUCUCUAGCUUUUCACGAAGUAUUUUUGGCCAUUUUAGACAGUGGCUUAGGUAGGAGCAGUGGCCUACAAGUUUCAAUUUCUUAAAGGUUGUUAGGAACCCAAAAAUUGAAUUCCAAAGAAAGAACACUUUUAUGAAGAAAUAGGAUAGAAUAGGAGAGAAUCUCUCCUCCAAGGGUUUCACCUUCACAAUAGAGGUUAUACUCUAUUCACAAACUUUACAAUAUUCAAAGAUACUCUCUAACCUUUGUGUUGUCCUAUUUUUAUUUUUUUUAGUAGGCAAAUGUUGGUGGUUAGUUUCCGGGAUCGAACCCGGGACUUUCUUCUUAUAACUCCUUCAAUAUCCCUUAGCUCACCAACUGAGCUACCUACGCGGGACAUGUUAUUCUAUUUAUACACAUACUCUCUAACUAAUCCAAAUAACUAUAACUCUUAAUUACAUAUACUACUCUAAUUAGCAAUUAUUCUAUACCCCAAACAAACAAAGGUUCUUAAAAUCACCCAAUUUUCCAUGUUUCUCUAAACUCAGUUGAAAACCGUCCAACCACCUAAAAUGUUAAUAGAUAUAGGCAUGUAGAACAGUUAUUGGUAGGGUCGGGGCUUUUUGAAUUCAUUGAUUGAAGGAGAAAAGUUGAGGAAAUGCUGAAAUGUUAUAUGUAUUUUGAUUAUGAAGAAGAUAGUUGCAGGGAGAAGUUUUGUUUGUAUAUUUGCUGAAUCACUUGCAUUAAGCACAGAUGUCCUUUUACCACAUUAUUUUGCAUUCAAUUGAAAUGAAAACCUCAAGAGUGAUUCCCACAAAAUUGUGAAUUAUCUAAGCCAUCAGUGUAAAUAGGAAUCUUUGCAUCUAAUCAAUAAGGACUUUCAUCUGAUUUAGUACUUUUCUGUUUUUUCUUUGGAUAUUAUUGGCUGGCUUGUUAAGCUAUUGAUUGAUGUUAGUGAAGUACACUGUUACAUUAAUGGAAUCUUUAAUAUUUUGUAGUCAUUUCAUUUUAUUCAAUUUUAGUCAUAUAAAUUUGUAAAAGUAGCAGCUUGUACAACAUGUACAAACAGUAAAAUCUUUUAAAAUUUAAACACAAUAAUGAGCAAAACAAUAAGAUUUAUUGUAGUUGUUCAAAAAAUAAAUUAAAAUAAGAUUUAAUGUAGAAUGUGUUUUUCAACUUUUGAUUCUAAAUGUGACAAACAAUAACAACCUAUGACAAAUAAUCCAUAACUAUUAUGAUAAACUUCAAACUCAGACAUACCCACUGCGACUAACCGUCCCUUUAAACACAUAGAGCUGGUCUCCAUUUUCAACUCCAUGCCACCUAAGGCUACAACUAUCACGCAUGAUCCUCUGCCUAUGAAUAAACAAAUAAUCAUCAACUGGCAGAAUUUUUCUGCUCAGCAGCAACUGCUUCAAGUCAUUAACCGUGCUUGUAUCUUUCAUCUCCAAUGGAAUGGUGGCUGCAUUAAGCAAACUAGAGGAAGUUUGUAGCACAAAGCUCAGCUUUCUAGUUGGUGGUUCUUUUGUCCGGUUUGUGGUCUUGAGGAACACAAUAAUUUCAGAAAAUUCACGAAUACCAUAUUCAUUUAGGUUUCGGAAAUCUUCAUUCAGUUCCCUCCCCAAAAAGAAAAGCUUCAUUGAUUUGAUGGGGGUGUUAUCAAUGAUGUGAAUUUUUUCCUUCAAGCUAUGGACAGUAUCUGUCUUAUCCACCUCUAUGUUAAUCAGUCUAGCUGAGAAUUUUACUGUGAUUUGCAUUUUGUUAGGAUGGUGAAUGAUAUGUGGCUCCAUUGGCUUGAUGGUGAGGUCAAUUUUUGUGCCUUCACUGACUAUUGGGUAAUCUUCCAUGUCUAAUCCAUCCAGUAGUUCAAACCCACACACUGUUAGGAUUUGGUAAGCCACUGGAAUAGCAUGGAUUUGUUCUAUUUUCCUUUUGAUUUCUAAAACUGUUUCUAGGGUUCCUACUUCAAUGAAAAAUUGGUUUAUUUCUGUGGCAAUAAUAAUCCUCAUGAUGGAGCCUACUAUUCUUUGAUUGGAAAAAGGGAAACUAGAACUAAAAGAUUGAUCAGUUUUAGGAUAUAUAUCAACAAACAACAUUUCUAAUGUGUUAAUAACAAACUUUCAGUUAGCCUCAUGAGAUUAUGAAAGAAAAUGGACAUUAAUUUCAUGUAACUCAUGUUAAAGACAUGAGUAUUUGGUGCAUCCCUUAUAUAUUUGUAUUCUAGUGCGAGGCUCAAUAUCACACACAACAUCCCCCUUUUCUUUGUGUGUGUAAUCAUGCAUUCUGGGAUAUCUUUGAAAUUGCAAAAUUUGUUUUGACUAGUAAUUGAAUAAUUUUGAUGGAGAAUAUCAACAGCACAAUAAAGAAAGGGCAUCUUGAAGUUUUUUUUGGUCACAAAUAGGCAAUAGAAUCAUUUUACCAGUGUUGCAUCAAUGUAAUUGUACAUUGAUAUUUGAGAAUACACACUCAAUUUGGUUUUCAAUACAUGCAACGAAAAAAAUCAAGUUUAAUGGGAUCAAUUCAGCAAAUCUUAACUAAUUUAACCAUAUUUAAUUUAUUAUUCUUAAAAUAUGCUCUAAUUAGUUUAGGAUUUAAUAUUUUUAUGAAACAAGUUUGUCCGAAGAGAAAUUUAAGAAAUGCAAUUAUUUUUAUUUAUUACAAAUAGAGAACUUCUAUGAUACACUCGCAAUUUGAGGUGUACAGAUACACUUGCUUCCUGGAUCUAUAAAUUUUUAAUAAAUAAGAUUUAGUUGUUAUAAUUGUAAAUGAUAGAAAAUAAUUAUUUUUCUUCAAAAAAUAACUCAUUUAACUAUUAAUUUAAGGGUCAUGCUAACUAGCGUCCUAAAGACACAUGUUAAAAAACUAAACUAGAAACAUUCUCUUAAAUUUUAUGCUUUCAAAUCAAAAAAAGUAAAAAAUAAAAAUAAAAAUCAAAUACAUUGAUUACAGCACAAUAUUUCUAUUUUUGACUCAUUAACUUGAGCCUUAGGGUCCGUUUGGUUCGAGAAUUAGGAGGGGAGGGGAGGGGAGGGGAGGGAUUUUUACGGAGGGGAGUGGAGGGGAGAUAUUUUUAAUUAAAAGUGUGUUUGGUUCACAAGGGGAGGGGAGGGAUUUUAACAGUAUUUUACCGUUUUACCCUUAAACUUAAUUAAAUAAAAGAAACUGUUUGUUUUUACGAUUUCAGAAACUGACAAAGACAAGCACACAUCUAAGCCGCUAUUUUAUCUUAAACUAGCUCAUGUAUUUUGCUCCAAGCAUCAUAUUGUUUUUUUUUACAAUGAGAUGAUGAAAUUACUCACAAUUCACUUUGGAGGAAGCCUCAAGCAGUCGUUGACAACAACAAAGUAGUAGUAAGAGCGGUUUGUACAUCUAACAAAUAAGAGUGGUAGAUUAUAUAAUAAUAAAAAUUGUUACAAGGAAAAUAUAACAAAAUAAUAAUAAUAAUUGUUACAAGAAUAAGAUAACCUAAUAAUAAUAAUAAGAUUGUUACAAAAAUAAUAUAAUCUAAUAAUAAUAAAAGUUGUUACAAGUUUAAUAUUGAGAUUUGAAAUUAAUUUAAGGAUAAUUAUGGCAAUGCAAUAAAAUUUUAAAGAGAUUUGCUCCCCUCCCCUCCCCUUCCCUUCCCUUCUAAAAAUUGAACCAAACACUUCAAAUUAAAAAUCUCCCCUCCCCUUCCCUCCCCUCCCCUCCAAAACUCUCGAACCAAAUGGACCCUUAAGAGUACAAAUUAACAUUUUCCUUAAUUUAAAGGGUCUUGCUAACAGGGCACUUGUUAAAAAUUUGAAAAUAGAAACAAUCCAUAACUUUCAUGUAGAAAAAAUUGCUUUUUGAUAUUUCAAUGUGUUGAAUACACAAAUCCCAAAGUAAAAUUUCUAUUUUAAACUUCUUAUCAAAUGUCCUUAUUAAGUGUCCUAAGGUCACUUGUUAAUAUUUCCCUAAUUUAAAUAUUUGGUGUAUCGGUACAAUUGAAUUUUCAUUUGUACUAUAGAUUUGCGUAAAAAAAAAGUGAUUAUCGAAUUUUCUUAAUUAAAAUAGUCAUUUAUCAAUAGUUUUGCUGAUGUUUUUUAGUACCGCUCUUCUCCCAUCUGUUUUUUCUCAUUUUCAGCCGAGCGUGAGUUAACUCACGUAGGUGUAUUCUCGACGAGAGUUAACUCACAUGUGUAUUUCUAAGCAGGAAUGAGCAAAAAUAUACGAAAGAAGAGCAAUUCUAGAUAUUUUUAACUCAUGUCCUACCCCUUUUAGAACGUCUAGGCCAAGCACGGUCCAUUUAGGGCGCUUCUUUUUCCAUGGUGCAAAGUUGUUAUGUCAUUCAAAAGCACACUCCUAGAUACCUGUGUGGUUUUGUAGAAACACAUGAGGGAAAGAAAAGAAAAAGGAAGCUUUCUCCAUUUAAAGUUAUAAUUGACCUUCAUUCCAAUCUAUCUUGCCAUGAUAUUGGCUAGGCUCUAUUAUAGUUUUGGUGUUUCCUGAUUAACAGCUUAGGCCUUACUUUAUUUUUGUUUUGUGAAGGGAAAUGUAUGUUCAAAACAAACCAUAUAUGUUUCAUUUUUUACCAUACAAAUGGAAAUUACGUGCCUGUUUUAUACCUGCUAGUGAAUUUUGUCCUGAGCAAACAAAUGAUUUCUCAAAUUGUGAAAUGAUAAUAUGAUAUAGGGGUCAAUUAUGUUGCUACAAAUUUAUGAGAGAGUAAAGGAGUCUUCUUAAAUUGAGUAAUACUAAUAACAAAUUAGUACAACAAGCAAGUCUUUCAACAACGGACAGCCAUCACCAAUCUGUUUCCUUUUUUUUUUUGUUAACUUGAAAUUUAGAUUAAGAAAGAUACGCACUCAUGCAAGGUCAGUGAGUGUCGUUAAAUUCAUUAAAAUUUACAAUGAAAUUUACGUGUAACAUUUAAACUUGAAUUCAAGUCACUCAACGAAUGCGAGCUAAAUUUCAAUAUUGGUAGAAUGUGUAUGUGGGGGGCAUUUAACAAGUAAAAUAAAUGGUAUUUUCCUAUAUUUUUCUUGAUUUUAUACUUUCAUUCCCUCUAAUAUAUGGUGCAUGUCCAUAGUCAUUCAUUCCACUUAAAAUAUUCUAGUGGCACCAAAUAAGACACAUAUCAAAUUGCCACAUUAUAUUCUUCUUUCUUUUCUCCAAUCUCUCUUGCCUUGACUCUCUCCCUCUUCCUCUCUCAUUAUGCAACAUUAUAUUUUGCAUUUGCAUUUUUUAGUAUUAUUAAUUUACAAAUUUUUGUAUACUUUGGAAGCAUAGCAUGACACGAUCCAAACUUCAGGAAAGUUUCAUAUCUCAAAACUCCAAAUAAAAACAUGUGGGACCAAAGAUAUGUGACUUUUUGUAUUAAUCCAUACAACAUUACUUGUUUCCUUACGUGCUAUUUUAUCCUAUAGUAUAAUAUUAAUAAUUUAGCAUGUUCUUUUUCUAUUAGAAGGAAAAAAGUAAGAAGCAAAGAGCAUGUGGUUGUUUACCAAUAAUAAGCAUCCAGCUCAAUUUAUUCAAGAUAGGGCCUGCCUGAAAUUUCAAGUGUUCCUGGUUAAUCGACAAGUUAGUGCUCAAUGAAUAGUUUGAACUUUUUUUUUUUUUUUUGGCUGAACUGAACUUUCUUUCUCCUUGCAUUUUUUAUCGCAAAAUCAGAAUGAUAAUCUUUUCAUAAACAGAUUCUCUAAAAAUUUAAAUAAGUUUUUGAUAGAAAUUAAUGUAUGACUAUAAAUAUCUUCAAAGAACUUGUUAUUCACAAAACUUGAUUUUGAUCGAGCAAUUAAAACAUUUGUAACGAAUUCUUGGUUUGAAUAGAAUUCUAUCAUCUAGACCAUAAGAAUUAUAGUAUAAUAUUUUAUUUGAGCUUGAAGAAACUUUUAAUAUGAUUUCAAGUUAUUAUUAUAGAAUAAUAAUGUUCUAAUACUGUGAGGACUAAACAAAAAAUCUAAGGUUUUUUCUUUAAAAAAAGAGCAAUGAUAUUUGAACAUUUAAAUUAUGACAACUUAUGUGACAGCCUCUAAAAUUAAGUGUUAAUUUGGUUAAGAGAGAGAAAGAAAAAACUAUUAUAAAACUCCCAUGAGUUGUUUUUAAUGUGAUUUUAUAAGCUGUCAUAUAUAAGUUGUCAAAAUUUUGAUGUUCAAAUAUACUCUAAUUUUUUUCUUUUAAAGGUUUUUGUAUGUUCUAUAUUCUCAUAACAUCUAUUAAGAAAGUCAAUUGUUUGACUAUAAUACACAAUUUAAAAUAGUGAUCCAUGUAUUUACUAGACUAAUUUUUUCUUCUUUUGAUUUUAAUUAGUUUAGUGAUGAAACAUACACACAAAAUGUUGAAAAGUGAAGAAUUAUAAGUUCAAAACGGUAUCACAUCAUAUCAAAUGUUCCUACAAUCUUUUACUAUCAAAUUGUCAUGGAACAACAAACUCGAAGUUUUAUUAAAUGCAUCGUGGGAGAUUUUAAUCAUAUAUUAUAACAAACAUUGAAAUAAAUCUGUUAGUGUUUUCAAUAGCACAAUUCUCCCACACUCAUCAUCUGCUUAUACCUUGAUGCACUCCAUCUCCAUGUCAAGAAAAAAAAAAAGCUCUGAUUUGUACAAAGUGUGAAGAGACUCUAAUGACUUAAUUUAUUUAAUUUCAUUCUUCAAUUUUUAUUUUCAUAGCUAGCAAUAUCGCUAUUUAUUUCUCUUUCAUCGAUGAUAUAUAAAAAAAAAUUCUUGUCAAAUAGCCCAUUGGUUAGAGAUUCACUUAACAAUUAAGGUGACUGAAGUUUGAACCAUAAUCCUGUAUAUAUUAUACAAUGUUUUACCAAUUAAGUUAAAUCCACGAAACUUUUAUUUUCUUUUUAACUUUUAAUUUCAAUAUUUAUAAUAUUUCUGCACAUACAAGAUGAUACUCCUUAGAAAGUGGGGCACCGGCGGCGUGUAACAUUUUAGAUUGUAUUGGGUCGUAGUAAAGCUUUAAUAUUUAAGGUUAACAAAAUAAAAUAGUUUGGUUCCUUCAAAAGAAAAAAACAAUUGAUAGGACAUUGCAUUAGUAAAUCUUUAAGCAUUUACUAUUUUUUUCUUCAACUUAUCUUUAAUUAAUAGUAUCUGUUUUUAAUCAUUUUAAUCAUCUUUAUAAGAAAGUUUUGGAUCGCUCACAGACAAAUUACACGGCUGGCUACCGACACAAAGAUAUCUCACGACCCAGUGUAAUAGAAUAGGGAUUAUUCUUUCUUGAUAUUAGUAUGAAUAUGUAUAAAGGUCUUCCACUACCAAAAAAAAAAAUGUAUAAAGGUCUUCCUACUUCCUAGUAAUUGAUUUAAGAACAUCGUUUAUUGAUUCAAAAUUAAACAUUAAAAAUUUAAGCAUAUAUAAUAAAAAGAAAAUAGUAAGUAGCAAGUGUUUAAAGAUAUUGGUUAAAGAAAAAAAUUGUAUCGAAAAAUAACGAAAUUAUUACUUAAAUAAUAACAUUACUUAUAUUUUUAAGAUAAAAUUUCUAUAUUAAUCUCCUUAACUGGUGUCUGAGGCACUAGUUAACAUUUUUCUUUUUUAUUAUAUUAUCUAUUAUCCUGUGUCUUGUAUAUACUCUCUCGCAGCAUGACAAACAGUUAAGUAAAUUGCAAGCUAACAAAGCCUUCACCACCUACUUAUUUGAAAAACAUACUUGAUCAAUAAUGAACCUUCCUUUUCAUUCAAUUUUCCCUUUUUUGAUUUCUUGUCAUCACGUUCCAAUAUUGGAGACCAGACCAUUUCUUUAAUUGAUGAAAAUCAAUCAUUGGUUUAUAUGGACUACCCAAACCGUGAUUGGUUCAAAAUCUUGCAUGAUUAAGGGGUUUCUAUAGGCUUUGCCUUUUAUUUAUGUUUAAGAAUAAUAAUGUCCUAAAUAAUCUUACUUUUGAUAUGCACAUGUAUUUGGAGUUUGGAAUCUGCUUUACAAUUUACAUGCCAGCUUGCUAUAGUAUGCAACAUAUGUAUGAGGACAAGAAGUGACAUUAAACUGGUCCCAUUACACUUUAGUUACGUAUCGUUCCAUAAAAUUCACUUCAAUUUUAAAUGCAUGUAUUGUACUCAUAGUUAUGUUUUACAAUUAAAUAGUCUCUUUAUAUGUGUUCCUUUGUGAUUAAUAUAUGAUCCAUCUGGACUUGAGAUUUAUGGUCUUGUGGUGAUGGUCGGACUCUAAACGGUAGCUUCUUUCUCUCUAAAGGGGUGAUAUGUUUGCAAACAUUUCGACAAUUGAGCAAGAAUGCAUCAAAUAUGCGAGAUUUUUAAAGUAGAAAGAGUGUGUAUGUGAAAGAAGGUUAUGAGUUAUUCUUUAUAGUGGUGAAUUAGGAUUUUUUUAUUCUUUUAAUCCUAAUCCAGACAACUGACCAAGAGGGACACAUUUGAUCAUAUUAGAGAAAACAAACCUUGGAUCUAGAACGAACAAUCCUGAUUGGCUUACAUGACCCUAAUUUGAUGAAUUUAGGGCAGUUCCAUAUUGUGGUUCGUGUAUGCGCUAGUGGCUUGAAGUGACUCGGUUCGCUAAGGAAAUGGGCCCUGACCUAGUUAGUUCAAAUAUACACACAUGAUAAAAGAUUAAAUUACAUCAAUGUAAUGUUAUACCAAUACUACAUCGCUAUGCAUGAUUUUUUUUACAUAAUUUUAAAACCAUUUGAUACAUUAGUUGUUGGAUUAUGAGGGGAGUCGAAUGGAUCAUUGUUGGACCAAUAACAGUCACACAAAUGAGUUGAACAUCAUAUCUUAACCUAAAACUUUAAAACAUUUCUGUUUAUGGAUUCCCUCACUUUAUAUAUUGUUCAAUCUUUAGUUUUAUGUGAGACUUCCACCUCACAUUUACUAAACGUUAUUGAGGUGCAUAGUUUAUGAUUAUUAAUUAAAGGCUUAAUAGCAGUUUUGGUCCCCUAAGGAAAAAAACUACAAAAUCGCCCACUAAGUUUUGCAUUUGUGGCAGUUUUGGCCCCCAAGGCCAAUUUUGACUCGGUCUACGCUGACGUGGCACCCUAAGUGAGGUGCCACAUGUUAUUUUAUUUUUUUUUGUCUUGGGGGGCCAAAAAUGCUACAGUUGCAAAACUUAAGGGGCGGUUUUGUAGUUUUUUUCUUAGGAGGCCAAAAUCGCAACUUCGUGGAAGUUAGGGGGCGAAAACUGCUAUUAAACCUUAAUUAAAUUGUCUCUUAUAUAUACAUAUACAUAGUGAUACAAUGCCACAAGUCCUAUUUUUUUUAGUACUUAAUGUGUUUGAGUUUUGUUCCUAAGUUUUUUUUUUAAAUAAAAUAAUUUGAUUUUGUAUGAUACACAUGCAUUCAAUCAAAUUCACGAUGAUGCCACUAUUUUAUGUUAGUUCCAAUAAUAUUUCUACAAAUACUAUGUGUAAAAAUAAUUAUGUUUGCACAAUUGGACCAUUAUAUGAUUGGAGAACUGUCAAAACAAAAAUACAGCUAAGUUUUGUCAACAUAUGGAUACUCAUAAUGAGUUUCAGCACUUUCUUAUCCACAUCGGUUUGAAAUUUGACCCACUCACUAUUUGACAUUCGACAUACUUAUAUGCAUAAGCAAAUUUUGCUGGCUAUGGCAACAUGAUUUCCUCCUUAACAGUAGCCAUAAUUGUGUCCAAUUAUUGACUUCUAAGUCUCACUACAAUUAUUUUCUUGUUAAAUUAUUACAAUAAUUUCCCUUUAACUUAAAUAAUCAAUUUUUUUUUUUUUUACUAUACCUCACAUAUUGUAUGUGGGAAUCAAUUUGACUUUCUCUAUACAAAAGGAACUCCCAAAAUGUUUCUCUAUCUUUAUCAUCACUAAUUAAAGUAUUCAAUUAAUCAAUGUAUGCUUAUAUUCGCUAAGAUUUAGAUCUUACUUGCAACAUUUUUUUAUUAACUUUUUACCCACUCUUUAAUUCAUUCGUCAUAGUUUUCCAUUUCUUAAGAAUAUGUCCUGCAGGUGGCAGCAGGUAAUCAUUGUUAAUUUAAUUUGAAAAUUGGCUGUCUCAAUGUGAUGCAUCACUAAAGUAAUUGACUCAUAGCAUAGGAGCAGGUAAAGUCCAUACUUUCUUCUUCAAUUCCUCUUGGAUUCUAGCAAAAAGAAAAAAGGAAUAAGAGAGAAGUCUAAACUUACAUUCGUCGGUUAUUUUUAUAAAAGAGACUAAUCUCUCACAACAUUAACAAAUCGUAGUUAUUUGCUAUCAAAGACACUUACAUCGAGCAUAAUUGAGUUUGAGGAGGCAUGUGGUUUCAGGACACAUCUUGAACUUUGAAAAAAAAGGCAAAUAGACCUUUGUAUAUUUUGCGUUUUGAACUCCCUUAGAUAUAGUUCAAAAGAUCUAAGAAUUCAAAAGUUUGAACCCCUAAAUUAGCGUUCUAGUUCCUCCACUAUGUGGUUUCGAAUAGAUGAUUAAAAUAAAUAUAUUAAGAAAAAAUGAUAUAAAGUUUCUUUCAAACUUAUCCAAGAUCUAUGUUAGACCUAAUCCGAAUUACGAGUCCAUCCAGAGUUAAGGAUUUCUCAACAUACUCUCCUCUUAUCUAGCCAGUAAACUCAUACCUAGUCUAAAAAUGUAAACGUUGUUCAUUUACCCUAAGUAUUGUGCAAGGGCCGACAAACCCUUUAAACCAUUCAACGCCUUAGUCUUGACUGAUUAACGACCAUGUGGUCGUCGGUUCGAUCUCCAUAGCCAAUGUCAAUGUUCCAAAGAUCAAGUCAUGCACACUUUUUUUGAUGCAUUGACCACUUUAAGUCUUGUAUAAGACCUCAAGUUUUGUCCUUAGUUAAAAGACGUCUCGGUAGGGUGAAAAGUGUAAAUGCUUAUAAACUACCUUAAUCUUGGUUCUCAAACAAUGUGAAAUUUUUUGGAGCACCGGAAGAGAAUCCAACACUUAAAAAAAAAAAAAAAAGCAUUAAUAUUCAACAUGUAAUAAAUUACUAAAUAAAUGAACUGACGUUAUUGAAGCAGUCAGAAAUCCAAUAAUAUGGUACUCACCAUAUCUGUCCUAUAGAGACAUUCCCAACUAACCUAUUUUAAAUUAGACUAUAAACUAGUAUUAAGUGCAAAAAGAUACCAAAGUAGCAUGUGUUAUCACCUAGCAUGUUUGUUAGCUGCAUGGACCAUAUAUCUCUAUCGUUUUCUUUGUUUAAUUUACCUAAACCAAACAACUAUAUAUAAAUCACUUACCACUGUUAUGUAUUCAUCAACAAGAGAAAUACAAGUUUUUCAAGUAUCUCAUACUCUUGUAGCUGCCAGCUAUAUACAUAUGAAAAUGAGAAAUCAGUGUAAUUACUUCAAGGUUUUGAUUCUUUGUAUUUUAGCAGCAUCAACUCAUGCUCAAUUGGAGCUAGGAUUUUAUACUAAAAGUUGUCCAAAAGCUGAACAAAUCGUUGCGAACUUUGUUCAUGAACAUAUCCGCAAUGCUCCAUCACUUGCUGCUGCAUUAAUAAGAAUGCACUUUCAUGAUUGCUUUGUUAGGGUAUGAAGUUCAAGCUUAUUUAUAUGAUUAUGCUUUCACUUCAUUAAAAUUUAUUUGCUAACAUUAAGCUUUUUAAUUCAGGGAUGUGAUGCAUCAGUCCUUUUGAACUCAACAAACCAGCAAGCUGAAAAAAAUGCUCCUCCAAAUCUUACAGUUAGAGGCUUUGACUUCAUUGACAGAAUAAAGAGCCUUGUUGAAGCUGAAUGCCCUGGUGUUGUUUCUUGUGCUGAUAUCAUAGCUUUAUCUGCCAGAGACUCUAUUGCAGCUACAGUAAGUGCUCAAUUCUAUCUUUAACAGACUAAGGCCUGUUUGGAUUGGCUUAUUUAAGCUUAUCUACUGUUUAUAAGCUCUUUAAGUAGCUUAAGAUUGCAAGCUUAUCUACUGAUACAUUUGGUGAUUUGUGAUUUCAGGGUGGUCCAUACUGGAAAGUUCCAACAGGUAGAAGGGAUGGAGUCGUAUCAAAUUUGUUGGAAGCAAACCAAAACAUUCCUGCUCCAUUUUCUAACUUCACCACCCUCCAAACUCUCUUUGCCAAUCAAGGACUUGAUAUGAAAGACUUAGUGCUCCUAUCUGGUAUAAUUACAUUCAACAAUUUCCUUAGCAUUAAGCACUUUCGUCGUCCACGCUAAAUCACUACAAGAAAAUGUUACCGACAAAAAUUAGAGACAGAAAAAUGAAAUAAUUUGUGACAAAUUUUUAUUUCAUUUUAUCUUAUCUCUAAUUUUCGUCGCUGAUUCAACAUUUUCUAGUGGUGAAAUAUGUGGUUUUAACUUUAAUGACCAUAAUUUGAAAUUUUU
RNAcentral lists this long non-coding RNA (51196 nucleotides) under Medicago truncatula (barrel medic). Its description in RNAcentral is "long non-coding RNA (MTRU_LNC008822)". The stretch from base 12472 to 12584 matches the Rfam family "MIR2593 microRNA precursor family". The record is from RNAcentral. Lineage: Eukaryota; Viridiplantae; Streptophyta; Magnoliopsida; Fabales; Fabaceae.